AAAACAGUAGAUGGACAUAACCAAACAAGCCACACAUCAAGCAUCAUCAUCACCGUUCUAUAGAACACAAGAAUACUGCCUGCUGCCCUACUGGGAAGCACUCUCCUUUUCUUUCUCCUUCUCUUCUUCAGUCUUGGGGUGGUACCCAGGUAACUUCUCCUUGAUCUUCUCGAGUAGUCCCUUCUUCUCCUUGGCAUCUCCUUCAUGGGAAACUGCAGCUUCAGGGGAAACAUGUUCAGGAGCUGGAGGAGGGACCUCGUCAGCUUUCUUAUGUCCUGGCAAUUUCUCCUUGAUUUUGUCAAGGAAACCCUUCUUAUCCUCUGGUUCAUGGGGUGUCUCUGUAUGGACUACCUCGACAGGAACACUAGUAUCCUCGUGUUCCUUCUCCUCUCCUUUCUCUCCUGAUAUCUUCAUCUUCUCUUUCAAUGACCUCUUUUCCUUCUUCUUCUUCUUUUUCUCUUCAUCGUCACCUUCCUCCUCGUCGCUAGACUGCAUUUUUUAACACAUCAAAAAAUCUGUCAAUCUCAAGAAACACUUAACGGAAAAGACAACAAACAAAAUAAAUAAUGAGAUCGAUCCAUGGAUCGAGUUAGAAACUUACAGAGCUGGAAGAACUGCUGCCUGAUCGAUGGAGUUUCUCAAAGAGAGUAGGUUUCUUCUCCUCUUCCUCUUUUUUCUUGUGCUCUUCCUCUACUUUAGUCUCGGGUUCAGAAACCUGAAGUUUCUCUUCAAAUUCAGUACCAAUCACCUCCUCUUGAGGCUUCUCUUCUUCUUUCUUCCCCAGGAAAUCAAACAACCCGCGAUCCUUGGUCUCAACAGCACCACUCUCUUCACCAACUUUGGUCUCAUACUCAUGGCUCUUGUUUUCCUCAGCCAUACUGAUCAAAAUCACAAUAUGAACCUAAUCAAGAAAAGAUCAAAAUCACAACAGAGUAAUUAAAAUGAGUAAGCUUCUGCUUCGAGUGAUUUGCGCUUGUAACUGAUGGUUUGGGUUUGGGUUUGGGUUAGCAAGGGUGAUGGGCUUUUAUAGCUGGAAGCCAACGCGGAGCUGACGCGAUUAAGAAGUAAUAAAGCCAAGUGAGCUGGGCCAGUCAGGUUUCACUUCUGUAACCGACGUGUAAAUUUAAGUAAGGGAGGAAAUCAAAACGUAUUACUUCCGACAUGUAUAGAAUUAUAUGUACUCGCUUGAAUGAUUGGCUAGAUGUCUAGUAAUUAGAGAUGGAACUCAUGGGAGUGGUGGAGGCAUAAGCGUGUUCAAUACGCGGAGGAAUGUGUAAAGUAGCAGUCUGAAAGGAGGGAAGGAAGUAGAAAAGUUGAGAGGGGUACGCUGUAAUGUUCUGCAAAUGCCUUGGCGACACGUGGAACGAGAACGUGAAUGGCUGUCCUUGAGUGAGACCCGUGGUGUCGGCCUCGAUUGGAUAAAUAUGAAAGUGGGGGCGGUGUAUCUCGGGGCCACAGCAGAUUUUUUUUGUGUGUGUUGAGUGUGGGGUGGGAUUUUUUUUUUCUCAACGUAAAUAAAAUAUAGGUGCUGUAAACGUUUUUAUUAUUAUUAUUGAGAAAAAUUAUAAUGCAAGUUAAAAAGUUUAUAUUUGGGUUUAAUAAAAUAAACCAAUAAUUAUAUAUUAACAAAUGAUAAUAAAUCUAUUUGUUUUAAUUAAAUAUCCAGUUGAAAAGCUGAGGAAAAGAUGUUAUUUCUUGAAAACAAAUAUUGAAUAUUUGUUUCAUUUUAAAAUUAAAAUUUUUAAUUUUUAAUGGUUUUGAAUCAAUAAAAGUUCAAUUUUAUUUUGUUAGUAUUAACUCAAUGUUAAAAUUUAUAAUUGAUAUUGCAAUAACCCAAUUUAAAGUCAACUAGAAUAAACUAUGAAACCUACUUCUAGAUCAGGCUAAUAUGAGGGGAUCAAAUUAAAAAAAAAAAAAAUGAAACUAUCAAACUAAGAUGCGCCCUUAUAUGAUUUUUAUUCAUUUGAUUGUUAAAAAUAACAAUCAAAUGAAUAAAAAUCAAAUUUAACAUAUAUAUAUAAAAAAAACAACAUAGAGUUAAGCGCAAAACUCAACAAGAGACGGAAAAAAAAAGAAAAGAAAAAAAAAACCGGAGAGCCCUUGUCUCAAUGGGCCAUUAGAUAAGAAACUCCUCACCGUGAUGAUUUUGUUGGCACCAUGUAAGGGCGCAUCUCGAGCUUGGUAGUCGUUGCAAUUGUCGUCACAAUAUUGUGUCAUUUCUAAGUUAUUGGUGCAUGUGCUACAUAUGAUUAUUAUUUUUUUCAAGUUCGUUCAAUCUAGUCACUGGUUUCAAAAAAAAAAUGAUUGAACAUUUAUUUUAGAUUCAAAUUUGCCUUAUAAAGAUUCAUUUAUUUUAAAUGUGUCUAGUUGAUUAUCAACCGAGCAUUAAAAGUUUUUUUCAACAUGUCAAGAGCUCCAUGUAAAGUAAAGUAAAACAAAUUAUAAAACUGAAAAGCAAAUCAAUUUAUUGUGAAAAUGAUCAAAUUAAAAAAAUACGAGAGGGUGAGAUUAAAAAAAAGGCAAGAGUGAAAGAAAUAAACAGGAGAGGUGUUCGUUGUUCAAAUAAGCAGCAAAGCAACCUCAGAUAUUUUAUUGUUUUCUCUAGUAAUAUACAUGGAAUGGCUACUAAAUUUAAUUUUAGAAACGGAUUAUUUAUAUUAAGAUUAGAAGAUUUAUGGGAAAAUAUAUUCUUAUCACACAAAAUUAUCUAUUCGUUUAAUUCAUUUUGGUCUAGAACUAUUAACUUACUAAUUAGAUUAAUUAUUGGAUUACUGAGUUAUCAAGAGAUAUUGAAACAUAUAUUUUAUAAACAAAUUAGUAGAAGAAGUAAAGAAUGGCGGGCUUGGAUUUUAUAAAAUUAAUUAAAUUAACAUAUCAAUUUGUAUAGAUAUCUAGUAUUCAUGAUUUGAAAGAUCUACACGGGAGGAACUGGGAAUUCAAGGUUAUAGAAGCAGGGGGGUAUAUUAAGAUACAAAAAUCAUUUACACAUAAAAAUAUAUAUAUACAAUAAUUAUAGAUUUUAACUAAAAUAUACUAUUUUUUUUACUAAAAAGGACUUUUUAUAAAAAAUAAAAUUUAUAUAAAAUAACUAUUAAAUUUUGGUCAUCAUUUUAAACUUUCAGAGGGGUCAUGUGCACUGGGCCUCUUAUUCGGUAGCAUUUCUACCUCAGUGACCAGCAGAAUCACUUACAAACUAGUUAAUUGGCAGGGUUAGGGUAUAAAAAUCUAUCUUGACCUAUAAGAUCCGACUUUUUUGUAGCCUUGCCUUUUUUGGAUUACCUGCCUUAGUUGAUACCGUGGUAUUUUUUUAUAAUUAUAAUUUUUAAAAAUAAAUUUAUAAAUUAUAUUUUUUUAAUUAAAAUUUUAAAAAAUAUUUUCUAGUAAAAUCAAUAUAAAAUUAAAAUGUAUAUUAAUUAAUCAAGUAUUUUCAUAUGUAUAGUCUGGAGGUGGUUAAAAUCAUGGUAUAAAGUGUUUUUCAUAGUAUUUUUUUGUUUAAAAAUAUAUUAAAUAAUAUAUAUUUUUUAGUUUUAAAUGAAAAUAUAAUAAAAAAAUAUUAAUUUAAAAAAUUUAACUGCACAAAUCUGAAGACAAACCGCAAACCACGGAGCGUAAUCCAUUUUUUAAACAGUAAUUAUAAGAAUCCUAUGUAAGUAUUCAGGAUUUAACCGUACGAAGGGUCUGGGCGUCGUUCCUCGUCAUCGGAAAAAGUACCCCGAGUUGGGUGGGACCUGAGGGCGGUUUCGUCGGCAAGAAACUGAGGAAGGGAAGGGUAUCUCGAGAUUUGCGACUAGCAGGUUUGUGGUACGGUUCAUGUGUGGUGAGAGGCAAUAGUUUAAGGUGAUAAAUCGCUCUUUGACGUCGUGGAUGCGUUACUUGAGUGGACAGAUUGUCGGUUUAGUGUUGCCGAUGAUUGCAUUUCCAAGAUAUUUAUUUAUGAAUUACACACUAAUCCACUUUUUUUGUGGAGUGGUCUUUUGUGUUUGGCACAUGUCCACGUGUGAUUGCAAGUGACUGCUUCCAACCAUUCCAACUUCCAAUUGUUUAUUUAAUUAAAUUCACAUCAGCAUCAACUAUUUAUUAAAAUACCAUUAUUUUAAAAAGAUCUCAAUGCCAGCAGUUUUGGUAUUAUUUUUUUAACUUUGUUUGUGAAGUUAAAACCCCCCCCUGAAACCCAACUUUUAGAGCUCAGCUAUUGGAAGGAUUAUCUCUUUUAGGCUCCACUGAAUUAUACUUUUUCUAAGCCUAUUAAGUGUAUAAAGAUUCUUUAAUAAGCAUAUUAUAUUUCUAUUGAUAUUGACAUUAUAUAAGAAAUAGUAUGUAAUUUUUUUUAAACCUCCAUCAUAUUUUUAUCCAUUUAUAUGUGAGAGAUAUUUCUCAUCAACAUUAAUAUAUAUAUAUCAAUGAUAUUUUUUAUUUUUAAUAUUAUUAGAACAACAUUACAUUUUAGUCAUUUCUCUACACUGAAAGACUCGUAAGCUGUAAAUACAUCAUGAAUCAUUUAAAUAAAAUGUUCGGAAUCUUAAUUCUUUACUAAAUGUUUAUUUUUAUAAUAUCUAUUUGUAAUAUUAUUGUAUUUUCUUUUAAAAAAAUCACUAACUUAAUCAUUUGAGAGUUUUUAAAUUUACCAAAUAGAACCUCUUGUAAGUAUAAAACACCGGUCUUCAACUACCUUGGUUGUGAAGAAUAAAUUUGAUUGUCAUAACAAAAAAAAUUAACUAAUUAUCCUAGAAAUAAAUAAGUGUUGCCCCAGAUUAUUUGGAUUGUUCCAUCAUAAUUUGUGAAAGUGAUCUCAUUAAAAAAAUAUAUCAUGAUAUAUAAUCUUGAAUAAAAGAAGAAAAAUCCUUUCAAUUGGACCGAAACUUAAUUUCCAUUUAUGAGGGACUAAAUUAGAUCAAUCAUUAGUAUAGAGAUUAUCAACGUAAUUUUUUUAACUCGAAGACUAAUGGUACUUCGAUAUUGUGAGGGGGUCCUAUCCCAUGACGUUAGGAAUACGAAAAUAAAAAAAAGAAUGGACAGAAAAAUCAAAAGACGAUAAAGGCCGGUAGGAAUGGUCAGGGUCAUGGCUCACAGCUAUCGCUUGUAUUUCAGGCUGAAAAAACAUGGGGUCCUUUCCGUCGGAAAGCCAUCCAACUCAGGAUGCAUUAGAAUCAUCACUAGUUUUGUUUUGUACCCCCGUUCCAAGGCGGGGUGACUUUUUUUUUUCCAUAAAAAAAAAUAAUAUACAAGUUUUCUAGUGUAUUUUUGAAUUCUUUUUAAAAUUUAAAUUAGUAUUUAAAUAAAAAACAACUAAGAUUAAGAUGUUUAAUAUCAUAAUAUGAACCAUGUAUUUAGCCGUAUUUAACAACUAUAUUUCUUAAAAUAUUAUUUCCAUUCAGUGAAAAAUCAUUUGUGUCAAUAAAAAGUAAAAAAUAAAUACAACUUAGUAUUGAAUGAAGAAACUAAAAAAAAAAUCACAAACAAGCAAUGAAAAUAAAACGACCCGAGUCAACUUGCAUAUAUGCGGUAACCCCGCGAUCAUAGAUACAUGAUUUGGAUAACCCUAUAGGAAGAAAAGUGACAAGAAUAGCAUGAAGACCAAAUCUGAAAAAUUUAAAUGUUGAAAGAUAAAAUUAAAAAAAAUUGAUCUCGUAACACGAAACAUAUACUAAGUUGUGUUUAAUAAUUAUGUUUCUUAAAAUAUAUUUUUAUAUAAUGAAAUGAUUAUCUAUGCACGUAAAAGGUGAAAAAAAAGCACAAUUGAAAACGAAUUGAAUAAAAUCAUAAAGUUCAACUAUAAAACAAUCUAAUGUUGGUUAAUAAAACUAAAAAAAAUGACAAUUGAAAAAAAAAUAAAAAGUAAGAUUUAUAUCAACUCUCGUUAACCAGCCAAUCUCGUGAUCAUAAACACAUAAUUGAGAUAAUCACAUAGAAAGAAAAGUAAAUAAAAAAGCACGAAGACAGGUUCCUAAAAAAUUAAAUGUUGAAGAAAAAUUUUGAAUAAUUAUUUUUAAAAAAAGACAUAAUAAAAGUCAACUCGUGCUAACCUUUAAAACUUGUGACUUUGAUCACAAGAUAGGGACUUAAUGCUCAAAAAACAAAAAACAAUUCUUAAUAAAAAUAUGUAGAGGCAUGAAUUUUUUUUUUAAAAAAAUUAUUCUUAAAAAGCAAGGAAAAAUUGAGUAAACCAAGGUUAAUAUGCUAACCUCUUAACCAUAGAAACAAGAUUGAGAUAACCUCGUAAAAAAAGGUAAGAAAAAAAAGCUCGAAGACCAAGUUUUAAAAAUAAACAUUGAAGGAUAAAAUUGAAAAAAUAAAAAAUAUAUAUAAAAAAGACCAAAGUUAACCUUCAAAACUCGUGAUCAUGGUUAUGAGGCCGGGCUAACCACGUAGAAGAAAAAUCUAAAAAAAAAGAAGCAAGAUUCUUGGUAAAAAAAGAUUGAGGCAUGAAACUUAAAAAAAUAAAAAUAAAAAUAGCAACAAAAAUAACUUGAAUCAACCUGAGUUAACUCACUAACCCUGUGACCAUGGGCAUAGGAUUUGGAUAAUCUCAUAGAAAGAAAAGUAAAAAAAGAAGAAGCAUAAAGAUCAAUUCAAUAAAAAUAAAACAUUGAAUGAUGAAAUAAAAUAAAUUAAUUUUAUAAAAGGAUCUAAAAAAAACCAAAGUUAAUUCAUUUUAACUUUUAAAACUCGUGGCUUAUUAAAAAAAUGCCAAGGGAUGAGAUAUGAAAAAAAUAUAACAAAAAAAGAUCACAAACAAAAUAAAUACUAGUACAAAAAAAUAGGGGCGAAAUCUGACAUGAAAAAAAUUAAAAUCAAAUGAUAAAGGAUGAAAUUGAAAAAAUAAAUUUAUCAGUGAAAGAAUUUAAAAAUAUCAAAAAAACAACAAUCAAACUUGAUAUAAAAAAAGUAAUAAAUAAAUAAAUUGCAAUUAAAAAAAUAAAAACUAAAUUAAAUAUGAUAAGAUAUUCUUAUACUUUGACAAACCAUUUUAUUUUUUAUUAAUAUUUUAUAUAUGUGAAAGAUUAAAUUAUCCAUAAAUCAAUUUUAUUAUAACAAAAAAACCAAAAUAAAAAGGUGAAAAGCGAAUUGAAAAGAAGUUUUAUUCCUUGUCCCUCCUAUAGCAAAUGACUAAUCUGUGUUUAGAAAAUAAAAAUAUCUAAAAUGCCCUUGGUUGCAAGUUUUUUUUUUUUUUACAAGGCUAGAUAAAUCAUUUAACUCCUUGUAAUGAAAAUAAAAAAUCAAGUUCGUCUUUAAUCAACUUGAAAAUAACUAGUAUGUCUAUACGAGAAGGCCAAAUCACCUCUUAUUUGCCAGGUUGGUGUAUGUUUUUUUGAGGGUCAAAGUGAAAGUGAAAGUGAAAAAAACACUGUACUUUCCCCCACAUGAUUAGUUCUUUGAAUCACAUUGAUUAGAUCACACAAAAUUUUAUAGUCAAACCAUACAAAAAUAUAUAUUACAGUGCGAGUAUUUUUCCCCCCCGUUUGCUGCAAUAAUUUUCUUUAUUUGGUGAACUAUAGGAAAUUUUUAGAAAAAUUAACAAAAGAAUAAAGAAAAUGGCCUGGCCAGUUCGGGAAGCAGGUUCCGUUUCCACUGAACGAACUUCGGGAACGGCCCGAGCCAUAGUCAAGAAACGAGCUAGGCGAGCUUAAGACCGAUAUUUAAAAUUUUACGCCAGCCCAAGAGGCUUCAAAACCCAAGCGAGAAGGUAGAACACACAGCAGAAGUAUCAGGUAAGCACCUAAGAUAUCACCCACAUAAUUGAACUCUAUCAAUCCAAUUUAAAAUGGAAAGAGACUGAAAUACCAGUUGAAAUAAUGGGACAGAGCACAACGGAGAAUUUUCAAUUCUAUGUGAAGCAUCAAUCUCAAUUCCCUGCGUUUAGUAUGGAUCAAGCCUCUUUGAUGUAUGUGACAAGAGAUUCCCCCCCAGCACUAGACAAACCUUUACUUCCAACAUUUCCAUCAUCUUGUAGCUCACUAAGUUCAACUGCCGCCUGCUUCCUUGAAACCAAACCAUGAAGACAUAGAAAACAAGAAUCUGAUUCUUCCCCUUGGAAUUUGACCCUUAACAAUGACAGAUUCAAUUUCAUUUGACCUCGGAUUGAAAAAAAUAGAGAGGCUCCCAAAGGUCAGAUUAGAGGUGUCAUAUAAUUCGUUCAAAUCAUCAAUUUCCUUGAGGCCAUUAUUUGCUUUGUCAAUCACAGUUAAUGGCCUUCUGCUGGCCACUCUCAAUAUACUAGCUGCUUUCACCAUCCAACUGAGAAAAGCUCCAUGCAUUGUUGCUGGAUUCUGUUCGCUGGUUGCCUCUCUUGCAAAGAAAACUCUUCCAUCCCCCAAACUCCCAGCAAGAAUCAUAACCGUCUCCUGAAGACCCUUCUGCAACAUGAGAAUAAGAUCCACUGCAACAUGAGAAUAAGAUCCAUAUGUCAAGCAAUCUUUUCCCCCAACGAGUAUUGAACUGGAUCUGGAACAAAAAUUCCUUUUGGAUGGAAAAUACCACGCAAUAUGACUAGGACCCUUUUCACAGGCUCCACUGGAGACAUAGUCUCAAACUUGACGGCAGCAUCCCCAGAAACUAGAGCAAUUAGAAGAGCACCCCCUGAAACAGAAGAACAGCUAUUAAACAGAAAAAACUCGCCUCUCAUGCUUGAAUUUCUGUCAAAUGACCAAAUGUAUCAGUUUUUCCUGCCCAAAAUUAUAGGGAAACAACAAUGCCACCUUAUUUAGCAACCCAUAUCCUAGUCUGAGAAUGACAUCUUUCUUUCUUUGUGGAAGCUCACGGACAAAUUCAAUGGAUCCCUUCUUAAGCACACCCAACAGGACUGCAAAGCACCAUAUCCCCAAGAAACUCCUGUCUAUUGGCAUAUACAAUAACCCCAUCAAUUCCACACCCUAUACUCUCCAGAGUCCUCUCAUAGAAAAUCGGGCGGUCCUUUGCAAGCUCUCUAACAAAAGUAACAUUACCUCCUGGAAUAAAACAAUGUUCACCCCCCAUUUCACAAGGAUCAUCCUGAUCCCAGUACGCCAUAGACAAAUAGACAUUCAAGAAGCAUUUGCAUAUUCCGAAUUUGCAAGAUGCCAAUUCAACAACAUUAGCUCUUGUGGAUCCUCAGCCACCUUAUACACAUGCGUAAAAGCUUCAAGCGCAUUUCCUAGAUUAACAUGUACAGAUUUAACUUCCUCAAUUAUAGCCUGUCUAAGCUUACAAACUCUAUCUAAAAAGUUACUAAAAGAAGCCUCUAUCCUAGAAUCAAUCUCGGAGACAAAUAUCUCUCACCUUAUGUAGGUGCAACCCCAUUUUCCUUGCAAGAACUCCAUGUGGAUUCCCAUUUAUUCCAGUAAGAACACUCGCUCCAACAUCCGCCACAGCCACCACUCCUUCACCCUUCCUUUUCAUUGUCUUUACACGCCCACCUGGCCGCGCAUUCCCUUCCAAAACAAAAAAUUUAAAGCCCAUAGCCAUUGACUGUCUGGCUGCAACCAACCCGGCGAGUCCCGCGCCAACAACAACCGCAUUAGCUCUUCUACUCCGUCGUUUAAUUUCACCUGCGCUUCUUCAAUAGCCCGCGCCAUGCCAAAGUUAAUGUUGCCAUGUUGUCGCAGAAAAUUAUAAGCAGAAUCCACAACUGCUUUGAGCUCAGCCCAAAUAGACUCAAGCGCAUGCCCACGAGUUAACCAAGCAGAGAUAUAAGAUCUCCAACGAGUAAGAAUAUGGUUUCUCACCGCAAUAUAAUUAGCUUGCUCUCUGCCCCCAAUCAUAGACACUACAUUAGCUUCAGUUUCUUCUUUGGUUAGCGAAUCGACAGGAAAACCGACGGAGAUUGCUAUUAAUGCCUCGACAUCGACUUCUUUUGAAAGGCCGGCGCCAAUUCUGUGGAGGCAGAAGGAAGGAUUGCCGAAGAUUUCGGUGAAUAAGCGUUUUCUACAGCGUCGUAUUUGGUUAGUAGAGCAGGGAAUGUGGAGCUAGGGUUUCGGGUUGCUGGAUGGGGUCAGAAGAGUCGUCCUGGGAGUCUGAAACUGGAGCUUCGAGUGUUGUAUUGGGAAAUGAAGAGUGCGUUUCUGAUGAAGGUGGAAGGUUGUUUUCCGGUGAGCUUUGGUGGUCCUUGAGGUCGGGUUUUUGGCGAGGAGUCGUAGGAGACGACAUGGUGUGCGUUAUCGGAGGGGUCUUGAGGAGGCUCGGCGGUUUUUUCCAUCUAGCUUAUGGUGUCUUAUUAGUGCACUGCGCUUUUUUUAAACUUUGCCUGGAAGUCAAAGGAUCCUAAGCUGGGCUUCUUGACAGAACAGGCCCAUUUAUUUUUUAAUUUUCGCUAUUUAUUUAUUUUCUUAAUGCUAAUCACUACUAAAAGAAAGAAAGAAAAUUCCUGGACCAUAUCUUUGUAAGAUCUAUUAUUAGAUUUUAUAUACUAUAUAUAUAUUUUUUAAAAAUCUUUAAUAUACUAUGUGAGUAGUUUAAAUAUUAACUCAUUAUUACAUGAAGGAGAGAAUCUUGUUUAUCGACUUAAAUCAAAUAAUUAAAAUGUUAAAAAUAUAAUAUUUAAAUAUAAAUAACAAAAUAAAAGAUCAAUUAAAAUUAAUAGUAAGAAUAAUUUAAAUAAAAAAUACAGAACAUGAAAUACAAAUUUAUAAAACAAAAUAUAAAAAAUUGAACAUAUUCCGAACAAUCCAAAAACACAUGGAACGAAAUUGGAAAAAAGUUAUCAUCAUUUUUUUUUGAAAAAAUUGUAUUAAUCAGAAAAUAAAAGGAAUGAGUUAUGAAAACUAUAAUAUUUAAAUAUUUUAAAAAUUUAUGUCUAAUAAAUCUUAAAAAAAGGCGGUCAAGGAGUGAGGAAGAAGUCAAGGCAUGGAAAUCAUCAGACCCUUAGAAAUAUACCAUAACCUUUAAAUUUUAAAAAUAACAAAAGAAUUAUCAAUAUUAAUUCCCAGCAAAGUUACUAAUUUCUUCUAAAAAAGAAAAGUAAAAACAAAAAUCUCUAAUUCAGUACAGCCCAUCGAGCGGAAGCCCAUUUGCACAUAUUGAGCCCAAACAAUAGAGAAUUUUUAUAGGGACAGAGGCACGCAACUAACCCGAGCCAGACCGAAAAAUCGAACCUCCCAACCUCCACGCUCUUUCUUUGGUUCCGUAAGGGUCUCCAUUGCUGUCUCCUCCUCGAGCUCGAAGAGGAAAUAAAAGAGAGGGAGAUAGAGGCGAAGAGACAAACGAUAAAGAUGAUAACGCGAUCGAAUUUGGCAGACCAGUUAAGAGAGUAUCAGAUUCGAUCCAAGCAUGAUUGGGCCUCUGUCUCCUUCUUUUCUUCCGCUUCUAAUAUCAGCUCUUCAAGGUACGUGCCUUUGGCGUAUCCCUUCUUAAACUUUUCAAUUUCAAAGGUUUUUCAUUUCUUGAUUGUUAGUUUGAUUGUUAGAUCUCCGUUCUUAAAGUGUUGUGAUUGCAAAGAAAUUAUAGUUUGUUCAGGUUAGAUCAGCUAUGGUUUGGAUUCUUUUUGACGGGUUGUGGGUUUUUCUUAAGGAAUUUUGAAAAUGAAAGCUAAAAUUGAAGCUUCAGAGGAUUUUUUUUAAUUAAUUGAAUCGGUUUUUAUAUAUAUAUAUAUAUAUAUAUAUAUAUAUAUAUAUAUAUAUAUAAGUGGAACCCCCCCGGGGUCAGCUUGAACAUCAGGGAACUUCAUUACCAGAUGAAGAAGCAUGCUUGCUUGUGUAUGAGAAAAUUUGAGGUGAUUAAGAAAAAAAGGAAGGAAACUAGUUGUUUAGAUAAAUCUAAACGGGUUCCUGAAAGAUAGAAUUUGGAAAUGAUCUAUUCUCGAGCAUUUUUGUAUGGAGUGUCUAUCGUUGAGGUGCGAACAUGCAGUUUAGUUGUAGCAGGUUGAAGCCAUUAUUACAUCUAGCAAAUUAACUAUGUAUAUUUGAGCAAAAUGUGAAGAGAGAGAAAUGUAUAGUGGGUUUAGAGGCUUGAACACUUGAACUCUCGAGGAAUGAUUAUAGCUGUUUGAUAGAUGCUGGUGUUGUAUCACUUGCAGGAAAAGAAACACUUUUUACCGGUUACUAGAUGAUUUCGAUCAUAUGCAAGCCAAUUAUCACACAUUAAGAGCAUGUUUGGAUGUGUGAAAUUUCUGUGAAUCUUUUGUUGGAGUAGCAUUUAUGAGUAAAUCCUCUUUUAUGCAGCUUUUUUUUUCAAUUUCAUGCUCUGAAUGGGGGCAGCAAGUAUCCGUAGCACCUAAAGGUCGUAAUUUUCCUAUUACAGCUGCUUCCCAUAUGCAAAGCAAAGAUGCAAAAUGAGCCGGAGAUAAAAUGCUUUUAAGAUAUAUCCUUGUUAAUUUCUUGUAGACAAAACUCUGAUAUUAAUUCACCAAGAACAUGGAUGUCCACACUCCACAAAGGACAAUAAAAAUAAAGUUGAAAUGAAAACAUAUUGUGAGCAUAGGAAUAGCUUAUGAAGGUGAUAAAUAGUGAGGAUUAAAACAGAAUAUGAUCCAUUUUCUUAGGAAAGAUGUCAGUUUGGUGCUAGGGAACUUCUGACUUUUGCCUGCAAUUUCAUGCACGUGAUUUUUGGGAUGAGAAGCUGAGCUCUAAAUUUGGAUCGAAUGAGGCAUUGGGUGUUGUUGUUCAGGGAAAGAUAAUGGAAUUGAGUUCUGUAGCUGAUCAUUGAUACUCUAUUUGAUUGGGUGUUGAAGGGAACUUGGGGGAUUGAAAAGGUUGUUUAUAGUGAGAUUUAACAUAGGAUACAGUUUUGUCACAUUUCGAUCAUUUUUGAUGUUAGUAGUUUCCUGUUGGAACUUUUGAAAAGGCAAAAGCAGUCCGGAGAUAAACUAGUGUAGAUACCAGAUUAACUCAAUUGUUUGUGACUUGUGUAAGUCGGAGAUAAUAAUUCAAUUGAUAAUGUUUGGGACAUUUGCCUGAUAAAUGCGAUUCAGUUAUUUUUACUUUUGUACACAGUGGUUGGGUGGUUGCAGAGCUAAACUAAAACUGAGGGUGGAUUUAUUUUCCUGCCCUGCAUAGAUUUGGAUAUUUCAUGUUGCUGGUGACAUUUCCUGGCAAUUCAUUUUAUCAAAUAUUUACUUUUAAUGAGUGAAAGUUUCUCAUGCUUGGUUAUCAUAGCUUAGAGAAUACUGAUACUCAACUCAUCUACAAUAGUCCCUGCAGUGUUAUUGUCCCUGAAUCAAUCUUUCUUUGUAUCAUCUAAGAUGGCAUCGAUUCUGACUUUGUUUCUUCUCUUUGUCCUGUGUAUGCUUGCAGGGUGGACGUUGUGGUGUUUGUAAUAUGGGAACUUUUUAUCAUAGCAUUCUUGGUUUUCUCUGCAGUUUCUUUAUAUUUUAGGCAUAUGCGACUUGCGUUUAUCCUAGUAUGCAUCACUUUGCUAUUGCUUAUAUGCAUGAAAGUUACAAAGCAAGUUCGAUUGGCUAGGAAAAAGAAGCGAAGGAUGCUUCUUCCUUUAUCUAUGUAAACUUUACUAGCAGCGAGCCUUUUCCUAAACCAACACAACUUUGUUGUGUAGAUUGAUACAAUUUCUGACCUUUGCAUUGAUCCUUUUCCCCCUGCUUUAUUGCAAUGUUUAAUUGUAUACCCAAAGCAAGUUGAUCAAGGGAUAUGGUGAGGUGAUCAAUAAAAUGGAUGCUAAUUGAAUUGGAGAUUUCUCAUCACUUGGAAUGGAAGAUUGAGAUGGUUUUGUUUGAGGCGGUGAGCUAGUGACAGACAUCAAAUGUGGGUUGGGUGGGUGCUGGUGUUAGAAAGGUAUUGUUUCUUUUUUGCUACAUGCUUGUAGCAUGGAUAGCCGCUUUAAGAAGCUUUAGCCAGGCUUGAUUUAUGAGACCAAUGUUUUUAAUAUGUAUGGGAUACGAUUUUUGUUUUUGCUGGUAUACAUCCCUAAUGUAAAGGAACGAGUUGGUGUUGAGAAUUUCGGAGACUGUCUUUCUCAUAGUUCCGAUAAACAAUUACCCUCUGCAUCUGCAUGACUCUGUACAAGCCCUGACAGAAUUAUUUUUUCUGGAAUUUGGUGUGAUAUAUAUAUAUAUAUAUAUAUAUAUAUAUAUAUAUAUAUCAACUAUAGUAUCAGAUGUUACAUGCCAAUAUCAAGAGUAAAGAUUCAGACACUACAAACUAAGCUGGUGCGAGGGGAGAGAUUCUUCAAGCAGUGGCUGUGCUUGUCUCUCCGAAGGCAUUUUAUCCAACGAAGAUCGGAUUUAUAGCUUGGUUUUAUAUCAACCCUAGAUGCAGUGCCGACUGCCAAGGGUCGUCAAUUUUGUUAGGACCCUGCUUACCGAGGCUUGAAGAAGUGAAUUUCGAUCCCAAGUCACAGCAGUCCAUAUUGCUCCAGCUACCACUAGUAUGCUAAGCACCAUCCCCGAGACUCCCAGUAUCCAAUUAAGGCACCAAAUUGCACCAUAUUUUGUGGGGUUUUUAAUCAUUAUCCACUUGAAACUUGGAUAUGCUAUGGUAAUUGGAAGUGCAAUCCCUCCAAUCAAUCCUGCCAAACUAGUCAAGGAAGGAAGUGCCACGGAUGUAAAGAAUGCCAAGCAUCCAAAGAAGAUCUGAACACUGUUCGCAACCACCGUGGACAUGGUUUCUUGAUUUUGCCCGUAUAUCUGAUCUCCAAAUUGUCAAAUACUGGCAUUGCAUAUAUCUGAAACGAGCUGAGGCAGCUAAUGACAACGAAUAGGCUUGUUAAUCCUAGUAGCGACUUAGAGGUUUCAUGUCCGUGAUAUUCCUAUCGAGCAUUCCUCUGUUUGGCACCUGCUCAUUAGAAGCAGAACACAACAUGUUAUUGUUUCAAAAACGAGGCAAGGCAACAUUUUUCAUAGUCCUUGUGUUGUCGAGGCCUUAGUUUAUCCUCGAGAGACCAUUAAAUAUUUGUGCUUACCAAGUUACCAAAGCCCAAUACCCCCCUAUUGCACGAGGAAACAAGCACAUUGCCGUGAUCAAAUAUGCCAACUUUACCCCUCUCCGCAACGGGACGGUUGCUUUGCGCUGGAAGGCACAGUCCCCUGAAACAUUCAGCACAAAAAUCAUAUGACCAGAUCCAAUGCAAGUUCAAAGGAAAAAAGCAAAAGCGAUUGAUGUAUAGACUGUCUUAUCUUCGACCUGUUUCACGACCAAAAACUAGUAUUUAUAUAGUUAAUGACAAGAUCAUUUAUAAGAGAAGUUCUUUAUGCAUCAGAAAAUGCAUGCAAGCUGAAUAAACUACAAGGUACUUGUUAAUAAAAUUGAAAUUUGAAGCGUAUGUGAUUAAGAUGGACUGAUAUCUGGCACGAAGAUGAUAUAUACAGGCAUGAUGAUGCUCACCGAAAGCAGCCAUCGAUGGUCGGAGGUAUCUGCCAUAACCCAUCUCGGACUCCGAUUCGUUUAGCUGAAUCAAUAGUCAUAGAGUGUAUAGCUGCCACAUAAAAACUCGAGAUAGACAUAGAAUUCCCCAAGUCCUGCAGCCAAAUUGAAAAAAAGAAAAACUAAAAAUUAUAUUUACAAAAGCUAAACAAUUUUAUUAAUUAAAAUAAAUUAAUUUUCACAGUUUUUGCUUCCUUGUUUAUUUAGCUACAUAAUUUAAAAAAUAAAAGAGGUAUUCUAAGAGAAAUCUUUACAGGAUCAGAAUAAAAAGAUUCAAUCAAUACGAAAAGGAGUAAAAAAGAUUCCAAGAGAAAAUGCUCUCCAUUUAUACUUACAACAUGAGAUUGAUAAACUUGUUAUGUUUUUAAUUUCCUUUUUAAUUUUAUCUUCUCUUCUUUUGUAGUUCGUACAAAGUAACCUGGAAAACAUCCCCCACCAUAAUAUUCAUUCAAACAAAUUAUACUCGGUGAGGGCAACAUGCAAGACAUCUGAAAUCUAUGUAGAGGGUAUAAACAGAUCUAGAAAAUAAGAGUUCAUUCUAUACAAUAAAUGACACAUGGGUUCAUUCAUAUUAGAGUUAAUACCAACUUCAUCAUUAAAUUGUGGUUCCCAUGACCUUAAAUGCUGUAAUUCGUGCAAUCCCUCAAUCUAAUGUCUUGAAAGAAUUAUUUAGAAACAAUAAUAUAAAUCAUAUCUUGAAAUUUUAUCUAACAGUUUAAUUUUUUAGAUUGAAUUGAUUUUUUUUAAUAUAUAAUAUCAGAACAUUAAUGAUCAAGUGGUCACGAGUUUAAAUCUCAUUAUCUUUAUUUAUUUGAUAAAAAUUAAAUACGAGGUAAUAUAAACAUGUAUAAAUUUCAAGUUCAAAUAACUUUCACUUGAAGAGAUAUCUUAGAAAAUAGAGUUCUGCUUUCAUUGUAAAAAACAAAAUCAUUUUUAGUCUUGUUUUUAAAAGUAAAACACCCUAUAACAUCAAUAAAUUCAUAAAUAAUUUUGAAACAAAUUUGAAUUGGUUAAAAUUUAAAAAUAAAAUCUACAUUUGAUUUACUUUUUAUAACAACAUGAGGGGUUAAAAACAUCUAAAUUAAAAUCUUUCAUCGAAUGGAAUUCAUAAAUACCAACAUCAAUUGUUUUAGUUGUUAAAAUGUAAUCAGUAACUCUCUUUGUUCUCCCUAAACUCGGGGACUGAAACUUCAAUAAAAUAAAAUUUUGAAUCAAAAUGUAAAAGUCAAAAACCAAAAGGAUCAAGACUUUAAACAAAACAACUUUAGGGAUUGAAUUUUUAAAAAACAUACCUUAAAAAAUAAUAAAGGCUACUUUUUUUGUUCACUAUCAAGUUUAGUCCUCAGAGUUUAAAGCUAUUUUUUACAACAAAAUUGAAUCUUAUCUUGUUAAAUUAAGUAUCACUUUAAUGCUAUAAAGAUUUUUUUUGAUACCACAAUAAAUUCAUAAAAAGCUAAUUAAAAUGAAUCAUUACCUAAGAUUCGAAUCAGGAAAAUAUUUUAGGAUAAAAUUUAAAAAAAAAUCUUGUAAUCAAAAUAAAAAAUAUUAGUAUGAAAAUAAACCAAAACGUUGCUCCAAUUCAUCCACGGUAAUUUCUUCUUGAUACACGGUGUGGCAACAGGAAAAUCAACACACCAUUUAGCUUUUUCUUUCAUUUGUCUCUUUACAUACUUAUAUCCUAUUUUUACACAACAGGAAAAUCAAUGGACAUAUAAAUCAUUCAGUUACAGACUACCCAAUGACACAGUCUGGAGCUUGUAUACCCUGAACUUGUAUUUAAUCCAAUUACAUUAAAACAAGAAAGGAUCACAACUCUUAUUAAGCACAUAAACAUACGGACGAAGUCUUAUCAGAGCUCAAGAACAGCUAUAUAAACACGAACAUUAUAAUUGACCAUAUGUACGCCUGCUCUUCCUAUGAUCUUGCUUGCAUAAGCCUAAACCAUUCAGAGCUUGGAGGUUGCGAGCUUGAUAAGAUCCUUUCGGAGAAUCUUGCCAGACGGAUUCUUAGGUAUGGCAGCAACGUAUGCGACUCUCCGAAUUCUUUUGUAUGGCGCCACCUAUAUAAAUAGCAGCUUCGUAAUUAGAAAAAAUGAGACCUGAUUUGUGCAAAACCAUGUGAUAAAAAAGAACUGAUUUGAGAACACACCUGUCCUGCUAUGAAAUCCAUGACAGCUUUCUCGGAUAAUUUACUUCCAGCUUUUCUUACCACGUAAGCCAUGGGGAACUGCCCGACCUGCUCGUCAGGAAACCUGAUACAGUAUCACAUAUAAUGCAAGGUUAGAUUGAAUUCCCAAGUUCAUUUCUACCAGGAGGUAAGAACUUCUUACGGUAUUACAGCAGCAUCAGAAAUCUCUGGGUGAGUUAGUAGCAAUGCCUCUAGUUCUGCCGGAGGGACCUACCAUGUCAACAGACAACCAUUAAAGCAUGCCCAUCAUUUUACAUUUCCAAGAGAAAAGACAAAAAAAAAAAGUGUUAAGUGUUCUAAAUUUCCGCGUUUAAGAAUUUACUUCAUGAUUAAUACUUGUCGCUUUAAAGAAAUCUGCAUGAAAUGAUAAAAUGAAUCUUCCAUUCACCUGAUAACCCUUGUAUUUAAUCAGCUCCUUUAACCGAUCAACCACGAAAAUGAAGCCAUCAUCAUCAAUGUAGCAGAGAUCUCCUGUUCUUAACCAUCCCUCUGAAUCGAUAGUUGAUGAAGUAGCUUCAGCGUUACUAAAGUAACCUGAAAAAAGCCCCCACCACAAUAGGUGAUCAAACAAAUUAUACUCGAUGAGGGCAACAUGCAAGACAUCUGAAAUCUAUGCAAAAUCAACAUCGAAAUUAGGUCACAUUGUGAUUUCAUGAAGGUCAGCACGUUCCAUAAAGGGGAAAACAUUGGAAUUUAAGCUUCUCUGGAACAUAGAGCAUACCAUCAUGUUAUCACCAAAUUAAAGACUACAUCAUUAUAUCAUGUGAUGACAAAGACCACUCGCUGCAUCUACAACAAGAAGUCUUCAUGAAACGAUGGAUUAAAGUGGUACCCUAACUUUCAGGUCCACUCGCACAGGCAUUAAAAAGAGGAAUGAUUUGCCGCAGCGCAGCUAAAAAAGAGGUUAAGAAACUGGUGGGGCAAAGGUAGUGCACUUCUUAAUAAAUAAAUAAAUUUGCCUUUCCUUUUGAGAUAUAAAAGUUACCGACAGAUCUGGAAAACAAUAAUUUAUAACAGAUUGGACCUGCCAUUUUAAAAUUUAAAGUGCAGAACAUGAAUAACUCAUCUUUCUUUCACCACUUCUCAUCGAAUACAAUGAUGGCACGGGAGGAUUAGUGAACCAAGCUCCUCAUUCUAUACAAUACAAAUUGCCCCACACCACGUAUACUUUUGGACAUAGGAGUAAAACCCGGUUCAGCUGGUGGGUUGAUCCAGAACCUGGUCGACCUGAGACCUUAACUAGGUUUUUCACAUGUGAAAAUUAGAGUUGUAUUUGUCUCGGAUAAACUCGCGGGCGAGGCCCGACAUAUAUAAUUUAUUUUCAUGAACAAAACGAUGUUGUUUUGCUUUAGGGAUUGAAAUGCCGACCUCCCCUUCUUCUUCCUCUGUUCUUCAUUUCUUCUUCCUUUUAUUCCAGAGCCGUUUACAAUUUUGAGAAAAAAUUGAAAAACUCACUCCAACUCUCGCUCCCUCUGUUUUUCAUUUCUUUCCGACACUACAACUUCAAAAGUUCAUUGUUUCCUAUUAUAGGUAAUUUAUUCUUCCCCGUUGUUGCUAAGUUGUCUUCUUCUUUUUUUUGUUAAUUGUAUGUUCGGGUCAGCUUGUACGUACCUCGAUUAAUCUUUCAAGAUCUUGAAGUUAAUGAUUAUAUAAGCCUUUAAAGACCUUGAAGUUUACGACACUCGAACUGGUAACCUCUGGGGAGCAAACUCAGGGUUGUUACACCUCUCAAGGUUGUUGUUACCAAUUCUUACUAUCCUGUAAGCUAACAUGCUCUGGUAUUUACCAUAAGAAGUUUUUACAAAGAUUACCAUGGCAAAUGGUGACAUUGUUUUUUUUUUUUUUAUUUGCAGAUAUUUGAGCGGCGAGAACAAGUUCACGAGUUCAAGGAAAAGUCUAGUAGUUGACAUUUAUAGUCGAGGUUUGAUUAUCGUUGAAGAUUAUCAUUUUCAACGAUUAUAAAUUGUGGUAUGAUAGCCUAAUUGUGUUCUUGAAACAACUUAUAGAUGUGUUGGUAUUUUCUUUCCAGCAAAAACAUGUCUAUAACUCAUGUUGCUUUAUUACGCGCCAUUGUCAAUUUCAAUCGUGCAUCGGUAUCAUGCCUUCUCUAUAACUGGAUAGCUAGAGCUUGUAGAUGCGUGUAAAUUGGCAUGAAUAUCCACGUUAAACUAAAAAAAAAAAAUUGUAAAAGAUUUCCUUGAUGCUAUUUUAGAAUUCCCAUUUGUUAAAAAAAAAAGCAACGAUUGGCUACUUCCAAAAAGGGACAUGAUUGUAACUAUAAACAUGACACUUAUUCAAAUUUUGUUUAUUUGGACAUAGAAGAGCUUAACAUGUUUAUCGUACAAAAGUGAAAGCGUUAACUAGGUGUUGUAUUAGUUUUCAAUGUGUUUUUAUAUCAAAUAUGAAUUAUAAUAUUAUAAAAUCUUGAACUUUUUGGUAUAAAAAAUAUUAUUUAUAAUGAAAUAUCUAUCAAAAUAUAAAAUAUAAAAUUAUAAUUAGUUAAUUGUUUUUGCCCUUUGAUUUGUAGUUUGCUUAGUUGUUUUUGUCAAAAUGUGCUGAAUUAAUUGUUUUUGUUAGCAAGCAGUGUUUGUCAAUUAAUUGCUUUUGUUUAAAAGUUGUUUUUUUUUUUUUUUGUUAAGUUAAAUUUUUUACCAAAGUGGAUUCGUGAAAUAUAUUUGCAUUAUUUUUUUGACAAGGUCCUUAGGUCAAUUUCUAAUUCUAUCAUCGGAAGAAAUAAAUGACACGUGCAAUUAUAAUAUUCUAGCACGACAAAAACGACCAAACAAAAAAAAACAAAAAACAGAAAAAGAAAGCAUCAUACAGCCUACCUUUCAUGACAGAAGGAGCUCGAAGCCAAAGCUCACCGGUCUGGUUCACCAGCAAAGCGUUACCACUCUCCGGGUCCACAAUCUUGGCCUCCGUGUUUGGCGACAAUAGCCCUGCCGUGCCAUACCUCCUACUCUCCUCCAACGUAUCCGUCGAAGCACCAAUCCCCGCCGAUUCAGUGAGCCCAUAACCUUGUAAAAUCGUAACCCCUGGAUACUUCUCCGAAAACCCUUCAACCAUUUCCUUACUCAAUGGAGCUCCGCCUGAUAAAACAAAAUUCAACGAACUCAAAUCAUACCUCUCCCGUAACUGAUCAGCCCCGUUGAUCAGCGCUACUAGUAUCGGCGGCACGAGUGGUAAAUAAGUGGCCCGGUAUUUCACAAUCGUCGAUAACAUCUCCCCCAUUUCGAAUUUUGAGAGAACGAUGACCGUUGACCCUGCUGCCAGAAUUCCUGUGGCAAACGCUGCUAAACCGUAGAUGUGAAACAUCGGGACCGUACAGAUAAAUUUGUGAUCUCCUUCGUUUAAUCUGAACCGUUCAACAAUCGUUUGUACCAUAGCGAUUAAGUUCUUGUGUGAGGACACCACACCUUUGCUUUCUCCUGUUGUGCCUGAAGAGUAGAGUAGCGUCGCUGUGUCAUCCUGGUUGACUUGCUCUCUAACUCGGAUCCCACUUGGUUCUUUUUUUACCAUUUCACUUAAUGUUGUCACAAUUUUGGCGUUUGUUUUAGUGGAGGCAUCAGUGAUCCCAUCGUCUAUGAGGAUGAUGGUGAGGUUUGAGUUUGACUCGGUGAGUUUGGCAAGGAGUUCAGGAGUAGUGAAAGCGAGUGAAGGUUUCGAGUUGGCAAUUUGUUUAGCGAUUUCACGAGGAGUGUUGAGAGGAUUAGUGGUGGUAAUUACAGCGCCUAAAGACAUGACGGAGAGGCAAACGAUGGGGAAGAAGAUGGAGUUCGGAGAAAGUAAGAGGAUGACGUGGCCUUUGCGGAUUCCCAUGUCGUAGAGACAAGUGGAAACGGAAUCUACUGCUUUCCAUAGGUCUUUGAAGGAGAGGUGGCGGCCGGUAGCUGCGUCGAUGAAGGCUGUUUUGCCGUGGUGAGGACGGGAGGAGAUGAAGGUGGUGACGUCUAGGAAGUCAGUUAGUGGGAGUGGGAUUGGCUUGCGUUUGCUGUAGAAAACAGAGUUUGAUUUGCAAAACCCGCUUCUUGGGUCGAUUGUGAGGUUGUUGUUGUCUGCCAUGGCUGCUAAAUUAUUAAGCAAGAUCUCUCUCAAAUCUAGCUACUGGCUGUUGUGGUUCUUUCUUCUCUUGACAGAAAGAGGACUAUUUAUGCACAGGUCGUCACUCGUCAAAAAAGUCGAUGGUGAUGGCCGACAUUUUUAGCUAAUUAAUUAUAAGUUCGUCCUUGUAGUUUAUCAAAAUUGAUUAAUAAAUCUCUAUAGUAUCAUAAUUUGUUAAAUAGUCCCUUGAUUGAUAUUAAUCAUCUACAAUUAGAGAGAUAUUGUAUUAGUUUUUGCAUUUUGUUCAACCAUAAAGAAAAAAUUAUCUAGUUAAUCAAAUAACUUUUGUUUUAUUUCAAAUUUUGAUUUUGUAAAAGUUAAAAUAAUGUAUUUUUCAUUCAUGGAGACCUACUUUUUAUUUAUUUUGCAUGACUUUAUUUAUUUUUAUUAAAUCUACCAAUUUAUUUACGAAACUCGAUGGGAAUAGAUUUAAAUUUUCAUUAACUGAUAACUUGUAAUCCUUCUAGUCUUAUUUAUAAGUUAAACAAGAUAGAUAACACUUGUAUUAAUUUGUGUUUAAAUACAUUGAAUUAUAAUUCCUAGAUUUAUUAAAUAUAUAUUGAUCUUAUUUCAAUGCAACACUUGUAUUAAUUUGUGUUUAAAAGUAAUCUAUUGAAACGAAUCAAUAAUAAAUUUAAUUGUAUGGAAUUAUUAUUAUUAUUAUUAUUGAGUAAAAUAAUAUAUACACCAACAAGUUAUAAUACUAUCUUGAUGCUAAAUUAAAGUCACCAAGACAUAUAUUAAUGGUUUAAAUUUAUAUUCUAGGAACACAUGUACUAGUCACUUAGAAUAUUUGUGUAAUUAUUAAUAAAAAUAAGGGUACACUAGAUAACUUCAUUUAGAAAAAAAAAAUCACAAUACCAAAACCCUAGGUUUCAAAGCAAUUUAAUGUACGAGGAUAUUUAAGAUUUUCUGAAAUUUAAAAUACCUUAGUUUACCAAACACAAUUUUUUUUUUAAAAUCUCAAACAUCCUUAUACUAAACGUCAUCCAAAUUGGGUUGUUAAUUUUAUUUCAGUUGAUGUUAUAUUUUUUUAAUUCAAAUAAUAUAUAUUUUUUUAAUUCAAAUAAUAUAUUUUAAUUUUAAAAUAUUUUAACUUAUCAUUUCGAGAUUAUACUUUAUAUAUAUAUAUAUAUAAAACUCAAAAUAUUAAUUCAUCAUAUAUAAUUUUAAUUCAUAUUAAAAAAUAAAUUAACUUGAGAUUAUGCAAUAUAAUUUCAAAAUUUAAACAUUUCUAUUUAGCAACUAAUAGAUCGUUGGUUUGCGUCAACUUCCCAAUAAACUCAUUAUUUUGCGUCAACUUCCCAAUAAACUCAUUAUUGAGUGAUAAAAUUAAAAAAAUAAUAAUUUAAAAAAAUAACACAAUAAAAUGACCUAACUCUAUUAGGGUUAACUCACAAAACUCAUGGUUUAGGUUAUGAGAUUGAGAUAAUUUUUUAGAAAACAAAUUGAAACAAAUGAUAAAAUUUGAUUCAUAAUCAACCAAAUGUUAAAGAUGUUGAAUAAUGAAUCUGAUAAGAAUUAUCAAUUAAAAAAACAAACAAAAAAAAACUAGAAUAAAUUUGGUUAACCUGUAAAACCUAUAUAAAUUGAGAUAAUCACGCAUAAAAAAAUAAACAAACUACAACAAAUUAUGAAGUAAAGUCUCUAGUAAACCAACGGUUGAAAGAUUGAAUUAUUAUUAUAUAUAUAUAUAUAUAUAUAUAUGUUUUUUUUUUUAAAAAAAACUAUUCACGAAAUGGAAUGAUGAGAACCAAAAUUUUCUGCUUGAAAUGAUCCAAAAUCUUGAACGAGAUGAAAUUUAUUCUAGGAUAUUUUGUUUUUUCAAACGGGUACAAGAUAUGCUAUUCCAGACAGAUUAGAAUGAAAUUAAAAACCUUCGCAAUAGAAGUGUUUACAGAAGCCAAAUGCUACCGAGUUUUAAAUUCCCCAUUAGUAUCGACAUUAAGCUACAAAAUACAUUGCCUGCAAUUCAUUUUUUUUUGGUAACACGCCUGCCGUUUUGUUGAAUUGCCAGUCAUAUAUAUUCGAGCUGGAACGUACUGGACUCAGAAAUUGUAAAUAGAGAAGAUUGAAAAUCUGCAGAUAAGGUCCAUCCUCUCAAUUCUACUAAUAAAUUGUACAUAGAUUAGAUUAUACACAAGAGUAAAGCUAAACGCAACACAUGCACGUGGAUUCUUCUUGUUUAACGUCGUGCUGCCCGUUCAAGGAAAAUCUUACCAGACAAGAAUUCUUCAACAGGCAAUAAAUAUCCUGAUCUUCGCGUGUUUGCAUCAUCUCCGAACUUAACUUUUUAAUUAUUUUUUGUUAAUCUAUUUGUGUGUUGUUAGUACUUCCCUUUUUUUUUUUUUAAUUGACACAUAUUGGUGGUUUUGCCGGCAUAUAAAUAAAUUAAUUUGAGUUGAUUUAAUCUUUUUUAAAAAUCAAAAUUAUAUUAUUUUGAAUUUUUUUAAAAAACUAACAAGUUUUGAUUCUAAGAGUUAACUAGAUUAAUUUUAUAUUUUUUUUCUUACAUUUAAUCCAUGUUAAAAAUAAAAUAGCGAGGUACUAAAUUCAUUUGUGAAGCCGAGUUUAAUAAUGUUUGCACAUACGAGAGAAGAAAAGAUAUAGAAAAACCAACCAACAUGAAAUGAGAUUAGAUUUGGAUAAUUUAAUCAGGCAUAAUAUACUUUAAUCUAGUGCGAGAUUUAUAUUAUUGUAAGUAAUUCAUGGGUGAGAGAACUAGAAGAUUAAUUAAAAAAACAUGCGAGAAUAUGUUUCUAUCCAUGUGACGAAUAAUGUUGUGCACGUGCAAAUAUUCUGUCCUCUUGCAUGCUGUUUCUAACCGCGUUCUUGUCUGGGACCAAUUACAAUCAGGUCAAUGAUAUGAAUUGUUUGAUAUAACUGUGAUUUUUUUUUAAAUAAUUUUUUUUAAAAUAAUUUUUUAUUAUUAUUAUCAUAUCAAAAUUAUAAAAUAAAAUAAAAUAAAUAUCAAUUUAAUAUUCUUUCAAAAUAAAAAUAUUUUAAAAAAUAAGCAAAAAUUAUAUCAAGCUCCUCUUUAUUUUAUUUCUCAUUGUGAAAUUUCUAAACUGGCCAAAUAUCCCUGAACUUAGAGCGUAACAAAAUUAGUUAAUGCGUUUUUAAUUUUAGUUUUUACUUUUUCUAUAUGAAAUCAUUAAUUUUAGUUUUUACUUUUUUCUAUAUGAAAUCAAGUUUUUCUCCUAUUUUCUUAAAAUCUUGAAAACAAAUUUUGAUAUCAUAAUUUUAAUUCUCCAUCUAGAAGUUUUGGUUUUAAAUUUAUAUAUAUAAGAAAAUGAUUUUUUCAGGCUAUUAAUAUGUGUGUAUAUAUAUAUAUAUAUAAACAAGUUAGGGUAUUUAGGAUACUAUUUUUUUAAUUUAAAACUAAAAAAAAUUGAAUGGAGAACUAAAAUUAUAAUAUUAACUAUCUUUAUUUUGUUUUUAAAAUUAUAAAAUUAAUUAUAUGAAAAAAUAAAAAAUUAUAAAUCAGGUUGAAUAUUAAUGAAGUUAAAGAUAUUGAAAAUUUUUAUUAGCUAUAUGUACAAAAUAUGGAAGGAAUUAUAAAAUAAAUAAGAGGAAGACUUGAUAUAAAAUAUACAAAAAAUAUAAAAUGGUCAAGAAAGAAAUAAUAUGGUGACCUAUUUCUAAUUUUCCAAUUAAUCAAUAUUUUGAAUGAUGUCAUGUUCAUAUUCGAAAAGAAAAUUAAUUUUCAAUUCUCAUAACUACUUUUGAAUUCAAUGGUUGAAGUUAUUUGAGGAGAAAAAUAAAAAUUAUUAUUUUUAAUAUUUAAUGAAAUAUUAUUUAAUUUAUAUUUCAUGAACGUAAUUAAAUAUGAAAGAAUCUCAUAUAAUUCUUUUUAGCAUGAGUGGACGACAUACCAAUAAGAAAUUGGCAUUUGUUAGUCGAAAGAAAGAGAAGAGAAGAGCGUUAUAGUAUUGGAAAGGUCUGGCCCAAACGUUAGGACGUAGGCCCACAUAUUAAAGUGACCCAACCCAAAUAUAAUAUUGGACAGGUUCUAGCCCAUUCGUAGCCUCGAUUAUAUGGGCCCAAUAUUUGCACCAGGGCAAGGUCAGGCGCGGCAUCGGCACACGAAGAAAUUCCGAGAUAAAAUUUUAAUUUACUAAUCUAAAAUCAAACGGCUCUCGGUAACAAAAUCAUACUUGCAGUCCUGGGCACCAAUUGAUCAUUCCAGAGGUAGAGGAGAGUGAAAGAGAUGGCAGGAGGGCAUGGAGAGGGCAUCAAUUACAAAGGCUUGACUAUGCAUAAGCCAAAGCGAUGGCAUGUAGUCACUGGAAAGGGCUUGUGUGCUGUCAUGUGGUUAGUUGUUAUCCUCCAUUGCUUUUCCCCUUUUCCAGCUUCAAACCCUAGAUUUGAUCUUAACCUUGUUUUAAUCUGAUUUUGGUAUAUAUUAAUUUUCCGAUCUGGUUUACUGUUAGCUCUGGAUUGUUGAAUUAAAAAAAAUAAAAAUCAUGGAAUUUUUUUGCUCUUGAUCAGAAGUAAGGAAGCUGACUGUUGGGGUUUUGUUGUAAUUUUUGUUUUCAGGUUUUGGGUACUUUACAGGGCGAAGCAAGAUGGCCCUGUAGUAUUGGUAAGAGUUGAUGUUUUUUAAAGAAAAAUUUCUUUCCUUUAUCAAUGAUUUGCAUUGGGCAUUUAAUUCAAUUGGAAGGGAUUAUGCUGUCUUUUUCAGGGCUGGAGACAUCCGUGGGAGGGCCAUGGUGACCAUGGCCAUGAGAGUGGACACUAGGUAAUUUCUCGCGCAUUACUUUUAUCUUCUUUGCUGAGGAUGUGAACGCAGCGUAAAUAAAUUGCAUCGCUAGUCAGUUUAAGGAGCAACCUCCAAUUGUUAUAGUCUCUUGUUAUUAAUUGGAUUCACAGUUUAUUUAUUUAUUUUAUGAAGGAAUUGAUAGAUAUUCCUGGUAUUCUUUAAAUUAUCAUUUUAGUUUUGUCAUGAAUUGGUUUGCCGAUACCCGGUGUAUCCAAAACCAAUUAUAUUUGUGUGGAACUGCCACUGAUUGUAAUUAAAUUUAAAACUGUUUUUGUCUUGGAAGGGUGUUUAUUGUGUGAAAUAAAAACUGGAGAUCAAUUUGGUGUCCAUUUUUCAAUCAUGAGGAGAUCUAAAGGAUCUGUGUGCUUGCGCUAUGCCAUCGUAGGAAUAGUACUGUUGAUUGAAGGCUAUUAUUUGGAUUUUCUUGGGAAUAUGUGUGGGGAUGUUUGUUUUAGAGCCAUGAUAGUGUUGGUAGAUUGACCUAAAAGGAUUUGUAUGAUUAUAUACUUUAGAUAUGGAGCUUUUAGUUGUGGAUUUAUUGCCAUUGUAAUUAUUUUGCUCCCAAAUUGGUAUUUAUAGGAAAAUCGUGCACUUCUUGUUGAUACAAAUCAGGUUGUCUAAAAUGAUAUCCUCAUUCGAGGCAUACUUUUUGAUCCCCUGCUAAUCUUUUGAGCCAAAGUGUUUUUUCAAAAUCCUGCCAACCAUUAUGUAACAAGAACUUGACAAUCUUCUUUUUUACUUUAACUUAGUGGGCGGUAAAUGGCUGUGAUUUUUAUGAUGAGGAUUAAGAUUUUUUUUUUGUGAAAUUGAUUAGAGGAGAAAAGCAUUAUCAUGGACCCCUUUUAUUCUAUGCAAGCAAAAGUUGUUUACUGAACCUGAUGGCCCUAAGGAUUUUCUUUCACUUCUUGGAAAUUUCAUAUUGGGUAGUCGAAUAUGGUUGAUGUACUUCUCACUUUCAUUGUGCCCAUUUCAAGAAAUGGAUGGCAUCAUGGUUGAUUUUGUGUGAAAUAUUUUGAAGGUAUUCACUGGUGGGGUCGUUGUGCUCUCAUGAUCUGUAGACUGUAGCCCAUUUAUGGAAGUGGCAUGCUGCAACAUCUCAAGCACUGGAUUGAAAAACAAAAAAAUAGUUGUCAAUCUUAUCUUUUAACAAGACAAAAAAAAAAAAAAAAACCACGAGUUAGAAACAAAUAUCAUAAUUUGUCUCCCAACAUCAUGCAUAUAGUUGUUAUUUAGUUUUCUGUUCUUUGCUUAACCUCAGUUCUUCAUUAGAAAGUGAACGUUCAGUUUAAUUUGGUGGUCACUACUUAUGCAUGUCAUAGCUAUUUCUAGUUAUCUGACAUUCUUGACAAGCAUUUUGUUUUCGUCCUCAGAUUUUGUACCAGCAAUUUAUUUUACCAAUAUUAGAAUUUAUAAGGAAAUGGGGCAACCAUACUGUUAUUUUGCUGAUUUCAGGCAUCCCAUUGAAGAAUGAAGAUCAAUAGCCAACCGUAAAUUUAUUUGUCGAUGGGUUGUUGGCCAUGCUGUCUUGAUGAGCCCUGUUUCUUUCUUCGUUUCAAUAAAGUGGUGGCGGAAAAAGAUUCCCGCGUACAUUGAAACCCUUUUUAACAUGCUUCUUUGUGAUCAUGGAUUUUAGUUUGUAUGUAUUCUUCUCUAGACAUGGGCACUUCUCUGUGUAUCAUGCUGUAUCAGUUCAUCCCAGCAUGUUUUCGGUGCCUGGCAAGGUAUCAUUUGCUUUUCCCACUGUUCUCGAUGUAGCAAAUCAUGGUAAAACCCCAGCCUUGUGCUCUAACCCUUCACAGCAUCAAAAUUUCGAACUAUUUUCCAAUGUUUCCAACGAGGUAAUGAUAUAUAUAUAUAUAUCACACUAACUAUUUCCCAAUUGCGCGAUGGAAGAAACGAUUAGAACUAAUGGAAUGCUUGACACGUAACUGCCCUCGGCGCGAUGGUUCAGGUCACAUUGUUCAUGGGCCUAAAUUUAAAUAAAGCAGCCUGGUGUCCAACACUGAUGCUUGAGACACAUAUUAGUUGGGCCUCUGGCUCCUGCAUAUCUUUCCUACCGAAUUUUAAAAGGUCUCCACAGGAUCCAAGUUCAACUAGCAAAGUCUAGACAUCAGAUGCCGAAAUUAUGAAGAUUUGUGUAAAUUGCACGACAGAUUGCAUUUUGCAAGAUUUGGUUGCUAUGUAACUGUAGAUGUCAAUAACUUGUGUUAAUAGUUGGAGUUGGAGUCUCACAAGAGAUUGAUUUGAAUUUUUUUUUAAAUAAAAAUAAAGGGUAUUCAAUUUUUUUUUCAAAUAAAAAAGGAGAUAAUGAAUUGAUGGUUGAGUUUUAACUGAGUUGGUAUUAGAUUAACUGGAUCAACUUAAAUUUUUGAUAAUUUUGAUUGGGUUAGUUGAGUUUUUUUUUCUUAUAUUUUUUUAACUUUGAUUAGUUCAAGUUUUGAGCUGAUGUACCCAGCUAGUCUAAAUUUUAAAAUAAUAGUUGGAGUGGACAAGUUGAAUUUGUUUAUAUUUGUUUAAUAGGUGUAACAAAUCUGGUAUAAACAGCAUAAUUAUUAUGCAAAUCGAAAAAGGAACAUUAACCUAAACAAGUAUUAAAUCUUGUUGUCAAUUACCCAAACAUUUGGAAGGGCGUCAAAUGGGUGAUAGGCUGGCAACUUGGCAUGUCUAUUAACAUUAUUACAACUGCACAUCUUUUUUUCCUUUUUUAAAGAAAAUAAUCCAGACAACAUAAGGGAUGCAUUACCAUGAUAUUUCUAUAACGCAGACAUGGGAAUAUCCAUUUAUUGCCCUGUUCUCAGAUCUCCAAUUUUCUUUCGAGUUUCAUGGUAGAAUAUUAAGCUUCUUUAUUUGAUUGUCGGGUGUCCAACAAGCCUUUGCCUACUUCUUCACGGGUAAUGAUUUUUCGCAUGUUGGAUGCUUGAGCAACUGCGCUGAAAGAGCACAAGCAGCAUAAAUGGAAAAAAGUAGACUGGUCGAGGCAUUCAUGCAUGCCUUCCUUCUUUCUAUUGACACAUGGUUUUAAAAGGCUUUUCUAUUCUUGACUAACUUGUGCUUACGUGAAUUGGGUAGCCUAUAUUCUAGGUCAUGGAUUGAGUUCAUGAAUUUAGAUCAUGUAGGCAAGGUUCCAGCUUAGCUGGUACCGUGGAAUUAAGGAAAUGGUAUUAGUUUUUUUUUUUUGAAAAGUAAAAAGGAAUGUAAUAAAUUCUGUUCAAAUGGAAUAAAAGUUAGGUCAAUCUUUCUCUUGCAAGAAUAAUAUGUGUAGUAUGAAAUCAAAAUUGUAAUAAAAAUUAAAAAACUCAAGAACAAAAAGAAAAUUGAGAGAAAAGUAUACAAAAAAAAAAGUAUAAAAUCUUAGACAAUCAAGGAAUUAAACUAAUAUAAAAAAAUUCUAAUCUAAAUAGAAAUUUUAUUCUGCCGACUAAAUUGAUCGACCGUCUCUCAAUUGGUCAACCACUUCAACUUAUUUCCCCCGGUUGCUUUGUAUCAACCGGUCAAUCAGGUCAACUGAUUUUUAGAGCCAAAGCUUUUAGGUCUAACAGCCAAGCCCGACCCAAGUGAAUUGCAUUUGGCAGCCAUGCCAAACCCAAGCGCCUUAGGUUUGGCGGCCAAGUAACUUGGGUUUUGCUUAUUUGUCAGAUCCAAGUAAAUGUGGAUCCAACACAGUUUUUUGAAUUUAAAAAUAAUAAAACAAUAUCAAAAUACCAAAAUGUUCCCUAUUAUAAUAGAAAUUACACAAAAAAUAGUGUGAAAAAAACCCCUCAUAUACAAGCUUAAUUUUUUUUUGUCUUUUCCAACACCAAAGAUGUAUUUUAAUUAUUUAAUAGUUUGUGAAAUGUUAAAAAAUUCCUAGACAACAGGUCUUAAUUCUGUUAGCCUUGAGGAUAGAAUAAUAUUUUUACUAUGCAAAUAAUCAUCAAAAUAUUACCAUACCCCUGUUGAAACGUUUAAUACUAAUGAGCCUAUGAAAAAUACUGAAAUACUCCUAUAACCAGGGCUUCAAUUUUUUCAAACAAAGAGGAAAAUGAUAGUUUAAUUUCAUGUGAAAAGACAAUAUUAGCUCCAUCCCAAGCCUUCAAAGCUUGAAAAAUCCACUGUGUAUGUCUACAGUGGACCGUGUCUUGGUCCACAGUACACUUGCACGGGGUUGCCAGCCCCACAAAGCUAAAGCUUGGGUCUGACAACCAUGUCAGACCUGUGCCUGGGUCUGGCACCAAACAUGAUUGCUAGACCCAAGGCUCUUAGGCCUGGUAACCCAUGCUAGACCCAAGCAAAUAACAAAUAAAUAGAGGAUAAUUGUGCACUUUAGUUGUCAGGAGAGAGAAAUGAAAGAAAAAACAAAAAACAAUCGAUCACCGGCGGCAAUCCAAUCAUGAUAUGUCUACACGCGCUAAACCAGGUGGAAGAGGGCACGUCUACGCAUCUAGUUAUAUGGUGGAUGGACAAAUUUGAUCAUCGGGAAGUGUCUCACGCACCUCCUUAAUGGCAUGGGCGCCACCUAUUCGUUGGGGUGUGUGAAACACGCACUAGCAACUUUUCGAUUAAAAUAUAAAAAAUACAAUGUGAAAAUACUAAAACACCUCUAUGAUCCUCUUAAUUACACAAUAUACCCAUGUAAAUUUCACUAUCGUAAUCCACAGUAAUCUGUGUCUAGAAUUACAGUGAAAUCUUAACACCAUUUAACUUUAUAUAUAUAUAUAUAUAUAGCGGUGCCUAAUGGCUAGAUUAAUAUAUUUACGUAUGAUAAAUACUUGUGUUUAAAAGGAGGGAUUGCAAUGGUUGAUUAACAAUUUUCAUUUUCAUAAUGUUUACAAGAGGAAGAAGGAUGAGGUGCAGAAGUGGUGAAUCUUCACACCAAUGAUAUAUAUGUGUUGUGAAUUGAGAUUGUAUUGGCAAAGCUCCAGCUUAAGUACUUGGGAACGAAAUGCCCUAUCGUUUGCCCUUCAGGAUUAUGAAAGGAAUAAAAGAAUAAAUUGUGUGAAGAUUCACACAUUUUUAUUUGAAAAGAAUAAAAAAAUAAAUAAAAAGUUACAUAUGAUCUAAUUUCCUCCAAGAAGUACUUAGUGGUCACCCAAUACACCCACGGCAAAGCAACCUGCAAUCCCUUGAAUACUGGUCUGCAGAUUAAUAACGUUAAAGAUAGGCUGAAUAGUUUGCAAGAGGUUAAGGAUAGGCUUUGCCUUCUUAAUUGGUAAGUAUGUUAAGGAGCAGAACCCUUGUCUGGAUCAAACGCCUGAACAUGCACUCUAAUUCAACUUCAAGAUCUUCAACGGCAAUCUCCACUGCCUCCAGUCUUUUAUCUGCAGUAUGAAGUGCUGUUUCGUCACAAAAAUCGUACGAACUCUGUCCACUUGAUCGCAAGAACGUUGACCUUAUAAAAGACCCUUUACUUGAUCCUUGGUCCAGCCAUGGAAUUGAGAUGAGAGACAACAAAGAUUCAACAAUGGUGAUGGUAGUGACUCUCACUUCUCUCAGUACUUCAACAACCACGAUAAUGCUGUGGUCUACAUUUGAGAUAUCUGAAGUUACAGACUUGCCUUUCAUUCCCUUCAGUGAUUUCAGGCAUUUCAUUGUCUCUUUCUUUAGCUUCUUUCUGUAGAAAUUAUAGGCUGCAAUUUUGGUACUAAUAUCUGGCUUGCUAACUCUUUUUCUACGUAAUGUGAAUUGUAAGUCUAGAAGAUGUUCUUUGACAAGCAAAAGAACAUCCUUAGAAAUGCCACACACAUCCAGCAUUCUUAGAGAUGACUCCGAGACUUCGUGAAGCCAUUUUUCUUGUUUCUGGUUGACAAGAACUUGUUGGAUCUCUGGUGAAUGGAGAAGAUCAUUGGCAGAGUUAUGCAAGUCUCUGAGAGCAUUGAAAUUAGGCAGUGCCAUUUUCAACAAAGAAACAAGAACGGUGUGGUACGUACUUUUCAAGAGGAUUAACAAAGAAAAGGAAGUUUUCAAUUUUCAGGCAGUUGGCAAUAGUGACCUGACCACAACAACUCCUGGUUUUUAUAGAAAACCUUGGAAGACAGCCUAUCCUGUUCAAGAUCUCAGAUUUCGAGGAACAGAACAAUGAAGUAUCCUUUGUUGUAGUACGGACAUAGGAUUACUGGCAACAGCUAUGGGGACCAAAUAUGUCCCAGAGGAAGCUUCCAUUCAGAUAGAGGGAGGCAUUGGACUGACUUAAAUCAAAUAUUAUAUUGGUGAUUUAGACUGAUAUUGUCAGGUUUGCAUGCACGGGAGGGAGGUGCCAGCCUGUGUUCAAUUUUGGAAAUUGCAAACCAGACAAACUGUUGAGCUUGAUUAAGACAAAACUAGCCAUUCCUCUAUAAGACAGGAUUACUUACAACUGUAUAAGCCUUUGUUUUCUAUGGACAUGAUCCUAGAUUAGAUUCAUGGUUUGAGUUCCUGUCAUCCUGUGUAAGGAACUUCCAAGAAACUCUUCUGAAGGUUCCUCAUGCCAGCUGCUUGCAAGAAGAUAAAAUGCAGUGCCACAUUUUUUCUCCAGGCAACAUAGUAGUCAAAUUUCUAAUUAGGAAAAUGUGAGUUGAUUAAUUAAUAACAAGGUUAAUUAUUUGUCUUCUUAGUUUUAUUGGUCACAGUACUAGCUUCAAAUAUCACUGGUUAGUGUUACACGAUUGGAAAAAAUACAUAAAUGAAUUUGGUUUGAGUAAAAAAAUAAAAAUAUAAAAUAAAUCUGUUCACAUUAACGUUUUGAAAUAAAUUUAUACCCUUUAAAAAUAAAAAAAAUAAAAAACAUGUUUUUUUUUUAAAAAAAAUUUCUAUCUCAAGAUUAUAACCGAAUAUUAUGAUUUUAUCUACUUUAAGUGUUCUUGUAAACCUAAUAUUGUGUUAAGAAUAUUAAAUUAAUUUAUCUAAUAAUUAAUUUAUUUGCUAUUAAUUAGUAUAGUUAUGGAAUUAAAGAUUUUUUAUUUAUUAGUAUUACUUGUGGUGCUAUGCGAUAUAUAUAUAUAUAUAUAUAUAUAUAUAUAUAUAUAUAUAUAUAUAUAUAACAACCCCUUCAGAUUCUCCAUACUAGAGAAUAAAGUCACUUCUGAAAUCAGCUAGUGAACUAGUUACUUUAGUUUGAUUUUUUUUUUUAUUCAAUAUAUAGUUAGUCAACUUAGAAAAGUUUAUUUUUAUUUUUUGAUAUUUUUGGUCAAAAUUGUGACUUUGAAUAACAAAGAUAAAUAAUCUUUAUUUUUUUUUAAUAGAAGACGGUGAAGACAAGACAGAAAUUGUAAUUGGAAGGCGGAACCCUAAAAGUCUUAAACAUCACACUCAAUUGGUGGUGGAUGAUGGAAAUUGAAGUUAAUUAAAAUACUCUUUUCACCAACAUUUAAGAGCUGAGAUUUUUACUUGCAUAUAUGCCUCAUGUUCAAGAUGUUCAAAUCUGGAAAACCUUAGGUUUCAUAGGAAUGAAACUUAGGUUUAUAAUCUCAUCCAAGACUCAAGUUACAUGUUAGUCAGGUUAAUUCAAGUUAAUUUGAGUAAAUUUAAAUAAUUUCAUUUUAAUUUUUUAAAGUUAAAAUGAUAUUAUUUAAUUUUUUUUAUAUAAAAAAACAUAGUAAAUAAGAGUUUUAAUUGAGUUACGAUUGACAUGCUAAAUCAACUAAGUUAUAUAUUAUAUUAACUUACACAUGAUUUUUUUAAAACCCGGUCCAGACUAGAUUUUAAAUUAAGCUAGGUUUAAAUAACCUUACUAGAUUUAUUGGCAGAAAAAGAUGAAAAAACUUUCCGGCCAACACUUACUAUUUCAUAACUGACUUACAAAAAUCUAAAUCAUGAAGAUGUAUAAUUGAGUUCUUAUGUUUUACUAUUUUUUGCCGGAAAACCAUUUUACUAACACCAAUUUGAAACAACAAACUAGAGGAAAGAAGUACAAAUAACAUGCUGCAAGCAACAAAUACGAAACAAAACAUAAGAGAAGAAUCCCAACAACACAGGGGCGGAGCUGGAAUUAUAUAAUAGAAAGGGCCAAAAAUAUAAGCAGUUGAAGGCCUCGUUUUAAGCCUGCAAUAGGCAUUUAAUCUGUCAACUGCUUUUCCUAUAUUUAAACACAAAAAUAUAAAAAUUUAAAAUAUUUUGCAGGGCCCGGGCCCCUGCCCGCCUCCUCCUGGUUCCGCCCCUGCAACAACAGGAGUCGUGACGGAACAAUGAAGUAUAAAUAGAUCAAUCAGAGAAACGACACACACUAGCUAGAAGUUGCUUAAAUAUUUGAAGAUACACAUAUAUAUGACUCCAAAUGAAGAAGAUGUAGCCUUAGAGUUGACAUCCAAGAAAAUGACCAGACCAUAGCAGAGAUCGAGCAAGAUAUAUAAGACCCCCGAUAUAUAAUUAAGUAUUUUUUGUAUGCAAAUGUAGAGAAGAUGUACUACAUUAAUCUAAUUAACGAAAAGAAAAUAAAAAAUGUUGAAAAAUGGCAUUUUAAUAAUUGUUAAUUGGUCCAACCUAUCUACUUAGCUCUUAAGGUUCAUAUCUUUCUUGCUGCCCUCUCAAGGUAUGCAACAAAUGGUAGUAAAAAGCACUGCUAGCUUUAGGACUCGGUGUCUAGCAUGAUGAGUUAACUUAACAACCUGCUAACUUAGAGCCGGGCUCUUGAUCGAUCAACAAAAUUAAUAUUAUUUUUUUUUAACUAAAAUAACAUGUUUUAAUUUAAAAAGACAACACAAGUCGAAGUUCGGGUUGCCCAUACGACGUGUAACCCCAGCCUUGAGCCGCUUGUAACCAUGGUAGAAAGAUGGAGAAGAGGAACUACAAUAUUGAUAUAUCAUCAAGUUUCAGAAUCCUACUCUUGUCAUGUACGUAGAACCUGAACAUGUAAAAACAUCCGUUAAAGUCUUUACAGCUGCCCUUUGAAAUUUUGUGAAUUAUGGGACGGUGGGUGGGAAUGUUUGCCUACUUGUAAGAAACAUAAGUGAUGUCAUUGUAAAGUUUUAAUUAGGUGGAAAAUCCUCUCUCAAAAAGGGUUCCCUCGAAGUCUCAAGUCCACGCUAUCUCUAUAAUUAAGAAAUUAAAACGAAUUUUGAGGCACCAACCUUUAGACCUUUUGCCUAUAUACAGUCCACCCAACUUUAAUUCUUGCAUCCACUUGUCUUUGAUUUGCCAUAUUUUGAACCAUCGAUCACCAUACGAGCCACCACCAUACAAAAAGAUAAUCAUAGAGACACCUACCACACAUUCGAUCCUUGCCUUUUCUCUUCUUGUAAUUCCCUUUUGUUAGCUUGGUUGCGAUGGCUCAAAAAAAGUUCAAACGAAGGUCAUUUUCUUUUGAACUAAACCUAGAGAAGUUGUACACGGAAAAACCAUUUACACACAUGCCUAAGAUCAACGAACCUAUCAAUAAUUACUAAGUAGAAUAAUCUAAAUAUAUACAGUGAAAAUGAUUAAUGCCCACCUGAGACAACAUACUUUCGCCUACCUCCACGAGCCAUCGGGUUUAAUGGUGGAAUAUGAGAUCAUCACUAACUAUCAUAUGAUUAAGAGAGAUCAUGCUCUCUCAAAUUCACUUUUACAAGUUAAAUUUAUGAUCAACGUGUGUGGAUCUAAGAAUCAUCUCUCGAUGUUAAAACUAGACAUAUGAUAAUCACUCCAAUAUAUACCACAAAAUUUAUACAAUCUUUUCUUGUCUUGAGGGAUUAUUUCCAUGCACCUUUUAAUAUUAUCCACUCAGUAAAACUCCGUUGUGGGAAUUUUCGAUAUUAUCUAUCUGCCGUGUCAAAGGUGAAGGCUCCCUUGCGUGUCAAGUUUCAUGGAAGAAUAAUAUUCUUAAUAUUAUCGACGUGUAUGGAGAUGGAGCUAAUUAAGACUAAUCAAUCUCUUGAAAGGUAGGUUCGAUGUUUUCCUUCUCUCUUUGUAAUUUUUUUUUCAAGAAAGGGAAGGAUACACACACACUCUACAUUAUUCAAUCUUAGUACUUCUUUUUUGUGCUUGACUACAUCAGAAAAUCUCUAUAAUCUCUCUACUCGUGUUGUGUGAAUAUAUGUCCACAAUGAAAUUCCAUCGCGGAGUUGGUGUUUCUGAUAACUUCCACACAAUAAAUUCCAUUGUGGGGAAAACUGUUUUUGAUAUUAUCCAUUUGAAUUAUGUCAAGGUUAAAGGCCCCUUUCACAUGAAGUUUCAUGUAAUUAAGCAUAUUAUUAUUUGUAGUGGGGUAUUAUUUUUUUCUAAUCCUUGACUAAUUCAGGAACAGCUUGGUUGAAAAAGAAGGAUCAUAUUAAAGUAGAAAACGACAUAUUUUAUUCUUUGAUCUAGCUUCUAAUUAUGUCGUAUCUAUGUUAGUUGUUGGGUUGAAGGUCUCACUUGUGUUUGAAUCUCAUGAUAAAGAGAAUUGGAUGUGGGUCCUCGGAGAAAAUCCCUGAGUUCUUGGUGAUUAAUUAUCUUUUUUUUUAUAAAAAAAAUUGAUUAAUUAUCCUUUAGGAUAUGUUGAUUGUAAUAGUUCGGACAAAAUCGUCUUUAAACUCAUAAUUAAACUCAUUUAUUUAGAUUUUAAAACCAAUUUAAAAAUGUUUCAAUUAAUUAUGUUGCAAAAUAGAAAUUACUUCUUUUAAUCUAAAAAUGGUGUAUAUCUUUGCUGGUCCUUCGAGUUAAAAAUCCAUUUCAAUUCUAGUUAUUGGAUUGUCUAUUAGUUGCUGCAAGGUAUAUGUAUCGUGUUAGUUUUUAAUUUUUAAAAUGUUUUUAAAUUGUAUUUUCAUCUGAAAAAAUAUUAAAUUAAUGCUUUAAAUGAUUUUUAAUAAUUUUAACAUAUUUAUAUAAUUAAUUUUGAAAUACUUUUAAUAAAAAAACCCGUUGCACUAAAUUACCAAACAAUAUCUUAUUACAUAGUACGUACAUUGGCAAAGGGCAUCGUCAAAGCUCAUGAAUAGCAACAAAAUUCAAAGAGUUUGAAAGAUACACGACGAUCCAACAACUCCGAGCAUCCUUAAUGCCAUCCACUCCUAUAACAGCCAUACUCCACUCACCUUGUAGGCCCUUGUCUUCCAACCCCAUUUGGCAUUGAUGGCAAAAAAACGUUGACUUUCUUUUUCUUUUUUCUUUUUUUUUUCUUUUUUCUUUUGAACAAGGGAUACAAAAAGGAGACUAUAGCUGAAGAUGCAAAUAUUAAAAUUGAAAAGUAAACGGACUAUGAUGAAUAAUUAGUUUGAAAAGCAGAAUAUUUAUUGCUCCUAUAUAUCCCACUUUAGUCGUUUGGUUAGAAUGAUGAUUAAAGUUAGUGUAUACAAUAAUUAUCUUGUAUCUUUAAUUUUAUCUGCGUGCUUGACCGCACAAAGAAACAUACCCUUAAAUAAAUUGUUUUAGAGUUUUAAUCAUUAGAAUAAUUAGUGUGCAAGAAAAUCUAUUUAGUUUGUGUUGGAUGAGAGAUAAUUUGUGUUUUUUUUAAUAUAAAACAUGUUUUUUUAGUUUUUGAAAAUGUGAUUUAUACUUAAAAGGUGUUGUACUUUUGAAAAAAAACCAUCAUAUCUCCAAGCCAAACACGCUAAUAUAAUAUCAGAAUUCAAGAGUGAAUCCAAGAUCACACUGAAACUAAGAGGGAAAGUUUUUUUUUUCCUACAAGAAAAUAGAGGGAAAAUAUUUAAAUAUUUCUCUUAGAAACAAAAUAUAAAUAAAUCUUAUUCUUAAAAAUCCAACUAGAAUGUUCUUGAGAAUAGAGGACCGGAUUGGUCAUCGCUUAAGAGGGAGAGCCAAUUUUCUGUAUUUAGAGGGUUAAACUUAUAAAGGAAAAAAGGUUUUUAAGGGGAAAAGGAUUCAAUUUUCACUUUUCAGGGACUAAAUUGAAAUUCUACAAGGAAAGGGGACAAAAUAUGCUCUAUUAAUAUCAGUGAGGGGGCGAGAAUUUUAACCUCGGGGUCAGUGCCAUCACUGUCCCCUGGAUUCGUCUCUGCUGGAAUUCACAAUUUGUAUAGCUAUUCGUCCAUUCUCAAGCCGAGAAGACUCUUAAAUAUAAGGGGGUAAUGAAUACAGUCCCAUUUUAAUUUCCAAUACACACAGUAGGCAUUCAUAAAAAGAAAAAUAAAAAGAAAAACACUGUAGGUUUUCAAAACAAAAUUAAAGUUUAAACUAAUUUAAAAGAAAAUAUAAAAGAAUUUGUUAUAAUCAAUUCAUGAUAAAAUUAUUAAAUCCAAUCGCUUCCAAUACUAGUUUAGCUUAUGUUAUAUGCUAGUAAUUGAAUCAUAUUAAUUUAAAAUAAUACUAUUUUAAUAUUUUUUUAAAAUAAAAUUUAAUUUUUAUAAGGUAAUUCAGGUUAAUUUUCACCCCCUAUUUAAUUCAAAAACUCUACCACCGUUUAAAAGUUGGGAUGAUGGGUGAUGGGAUUUACUCACCAAAUUAGGUCAGUUUUAAUAAUAGUGAUUAUUUAGGAAGAUCAGUGGCAUGCCAUGGCAUCAAUUGACAAUUAUUCCGGCCAUCACUUUUGAGAGCACAUCCCUGGCAGAGACAGAGAUAGCAUUAUUAUUUCCAUGCCCAAUUAAAUAAUUACAAUUAAAGUCAUUUGGAUUUUCAAUUUUUCAACCUUUGCUCCUGUGCUCACGUAAGCAUUAUUACAGUUUCUGGAUUUAAUGCACAGUACAGUAAUUAAUGAAAGGCGAGCAUACCUUGUUUGUUAGGUAGACAAAUUUUGCUUAGUUUUACACUGUCGGUGAACAGAGAGGGCUAAAUGCUAAUUCAUUGCAGGCAGCAGCCUUUAACAGAUUGAUUCCUCGGGAAGAACGAUAUGGCUUAAGUUUUUGGUUUCGAACUGUUUUUUGGGCACGGCACGCGGGCUUUGAAGAUCGAUCGGUUGAUAUCUGUCCUUGUGUCAUAUUUGAGAAAGAGUGAAUCUAAUAAAAUCAUAAUACAAGGUCAAAAACAACCCUGAUGAUGGAUUCUGAAUAAUUCAAUUAUCUCUAUUAAUUGGGUUUCUAAUAAGAUCAUAAUUUGCUAAUCAAUCUGCUGCUGCGUUAGCCUUUCUAAAUACGUGCUGAAUUCGAACCUUCCAGUUCUUGGCUAUGAGCUCUCGUGCUUUCAUAACUAGGAUAUGAUUUGUAUCUAUCUUAACAGUUAACCUUGUAAUUAGCUGAAUCAUCAAUGAAGAAUUUAAUUCUAAAAUGACCCGUCUGAGUUCAAGAGACCAGGCUAGUUUCAAACUAGUAAUAACAGCCUACAAUUAUGCCUUGUCUAAUGAACAAAUACUUGUAUUAAUAGCGAAACCCUUACACCAUGUACCCAAGUUGUCUCUUAAGAUCCCUCCUGCUCCAGCGGUUCCUGGGUUGCCUUUGCUACAGCCAAUCAAAUUACAAGUUAACGUACAGUUUGAUUAAAUUAACUGUAACUUGUUUAACUGAAGACCACCAGGACCAGACAAGGAAUUCAAUAAUCAUCCUACGUGUAUAAGAAUACACGUGUGAGAUUGGAUAAGAUUAAUAAUAGUCAAAAGAGGAGGGAAAGGCUACUCACAGUGGUUAUAAAUUCUCGUGUGUGUAAUCAAUAAUGUUGUGUUGCUUUUGCAUCCCUAGUCUAGCUGAAAACUCCAGAGCCGUCCUUUGCUCAGAAUAUAUGCACAUGGCAAAACGCCUUAUGUGAACUGUCCAUUUUUAAUGGAUAAAUUCUCCCAUUUCAAGUUAACGACCAUGUAAGUCUCCAGUGGCCAUCACAUGAGCAACCACAUGGCUCGAACUUGAGACCACAGAGGGAGUAAACCUCUAGAACCAAACCAAAUUUGAUUACCCAUCAGCUAAUUACAACCAAACAUUAAUUAGCCAUCAAGUAUUCUGUACUUUUGCUUGCGCGCACCUCGACUAAUCCCACGGGCCCUGAAGUUAACGACCAUGUAAGUCUCCAGUGGCCAUCACAUGAGCAACCACAUGGCUAAAAAUUCAAACGGACAGUAUUAAUAGUUUUUUUAAAUCAAUUAUGAAUAUGUUAUGACUAGACCAUAUGGAUUACCUGACUUGGUUAUUUAUGGAUUCAUGAGAUAUGGUGUCGCUAAAAAAGAGACUUAUAUUGUUGAGUGAUUGAUCUAAUAAAAAAAUCUAUAAUUUGAAUUAUAUUCAAAUUUAACUAAGAUUUCAAAUGACUAGUUUUAUUUGAGAGUCCAUUGACUAUAAGCCAAGGUAUAAAAAGCCUUCUAUUAGGAUCAUAAGGUGUUAUUUGGGCUUGUUUUGUUGGUUUUUUUUUUUUUAAUUUCUUAGUUUAUAUAGAACUGUUUGUCCUGUUCUGAUAAGACUCUUAUUUAAAUUAGUAUUUUAGAAUUUUAUAUUAUUUAUUUUUUUUAUUCUUUAAUGUUGUUUCUAUAUAUAUACGUUACAUAUCAUUGUAUCUCUGAUAUUUGUAGUGAUCUUAUUCAAUAGAAUUUUAUAUUCUCUGAAAAAUAAAUAAAAAAUGAUUCCAAACUUUACCCAAGUCUCAGGAACCAAAAAUUUUCUGUACUACCAAUACAAAAUUAUUACUGAUACCAUUCAUUCUCAUUGUUGAAUUAAUAAAAAUUUAAUGUAGGUGGGUCACGAGACAGGAAGUAUAGUAUUCUAAUUUUCAAUUAUUUCUCAAGGUCUUGUCCAUGCUAUGGACUACGUCCUUGCUAAGCUGGCAAUAGAGUGCACGUGGGCCGAAACUAGUGGACUAAAGAAUCUACCGGGAAGGACUGAGUGUAUCGUGUCGGCGAUAUUUGGUGAUAAAGCAAAUAUUUCCGGGUUAUGUACACGUGGCGUAACAGGAUUCCAGGGGUGCCCAAAAGUAUCCUGCUCUCCUUUUCCCCCUUUGGAUAUGUCUAUAUAUGGAGCUGAUCCAUCUUUCUCUUUUGGCAUAAUCGCGUCGUCCACCCUUUUUUGGUGAAAAAUAUACAAUAAGAAGAGAAAACACAAGAGAGCCAAGAGAUGGAGGAUGGUAAAGUAGCGGUGAAAUCAUCAAGAUUUAAAAGAGUUUGUGUGUUUUGUGGUAGCAGUAAAGGCAAAAGGGAUUGUUAUCGUGAUGCUGCUCUUGAACUUGGCCAAGAACUGGUAUAGCAAUUCAAAAACCUUACUUUCUCGAUCUUAUUUAGUCUUGUAAGUCCAGAAAUAUUGAGUUUGCUUCGAUUCCAUGUGAAGGUGUCAAGGAGGUUGGAUCUUGUUUAUGGCGGAGGAAGUGUUGGAUUGAUGGGGCUAGUGUCUCAAGAGGUCCAUCGUGGGGGAGGACAUGUAAUAGGGUAAUUAUGAAUAGCUACGGUGCAUGCUUUCUUGUCCACAUAAUUUCAUUUUCUUGUUCGAGUACUGAUCUGUAUUGCUAUGUCUUUGGUUGCUUUCUCCUACAGAGUCAUCCCUAAAACUCUGAUGAACAAAGAGGUAAGCAGAUUAGGAUUCUUAAUCCAUGUAUAGAAACGAUUGUCUCUAGUUGUUCUUGGUGCGUGUUUGUCAUCGUAAUAGCUCCUGUGGUUGUGAUUUAAUGAUUUAAAAAAAGUAAGUUCAUGAACGCGAUGAUUAACCAAACAUUUUCAAGUUUAUAACCAAGACAAAACACAGCCGGCAGCACCAGUACUGAACACUACAGAAACAAAACAUAGCCUUAAUUAAUUUACUAAUCAAGACAUGAUUAAAUGCUUUGUUUUUGGUUAUGUGCAGCUAACAGGAGAAACAGUGGGGGAGGUCAGGCCAGUAGCGGACAUGCAUCAAAGAAAAGCUGAGAUGGCCCGCAAUUCUGACUGUUUCAUUGCCUUACCAGGUACCUGAUCUCUCUCUUUCUCUCUCAAAUAAUGUUUUUUUUUUUUUCCUGAUGGUUAUGUGUUAAUAUUAUAUUAUAUUAAUUAAACUAGGUGGGUAUGGAACCUUGGAGGAGUUAUUGGAGGUCAUUACAUGGGCCCAACUUGGCAUCCACGACAAGCCUGUAAAGCUACUUCAUGUCUUAACCUUGGAUAAGAUUCAAAUUAAGAAAGUUUUGUUAUGCUCGAAGGUCAAUUCCUAACUUAGUUCUUGACAUAUACAGGUGGGUUUGCUUAACGUGGAUGGAUACUACAAUUACCUGCUGACUUUUAUAGACAAGGCAGUGGAUGAUGGGUUCAUCAUGCCAUCUCAGCGUAGUAUUAUUGUCUCUGCCCCAAGUCCCAAAGAGCUUGUUCAGAAACUUGAGGUGGGUUCUUGUGAUCACAUCCUUUUGGUUGAUUUGUGUUUUUUUUUUUUCCAAUUUUUUUACUUUAUUUGGCAGGAAUAUGUGCCUGUGCAUGAUGGAGUUGUUGCCAAGGCUAAGUGGGAGGCAGAACAAAUGGAGCUCAAUGCAUCUUUGCAAACUGAAAUUGCUCGUUAAUGGCAGAAAUUAACCAUAUGAAAAGUUUUUUGUUUUUUUUAGGAUUUUAUUAAAAUUAUGUAGGGCUUUCUCCUUUUCAAUUUUGUAUGUAUUGGUCUAGAAAGGAAGAGGAGAAUUUCCAUGCCAGAAAAAAUGAAAUAUUAAUCUGGUAGCUAGUCUUUAGUUUUAUUGUGUUCUGAAAGAAAUUGGCAAAAGCUGUCUUCUUUCAGAUAAAUCUUCUGUGUAAGAAAAUGCAAAGAACAAAAAAAAAACGUAGAAAAAAAGCAAAAAAAGCAGCCUUUUAUUCUCUCUCGCAUGCCUGUCAUGGUGCUGCGCUCUGCUCUACUGUUGUAUGCGUGUACAGUGAUAAUUAGGAAUGUACAUGCUGUGCGAUUGUUCAUGAGGCCGUACGGAUGGUUGACCCAUCAGAACUUAUUACAAAGGCCAACUCACAAUUGUUAAACUCGGUCCGGCCGGUGAUUCCAUUUAAAAAUCUUCUUUCUCGAUAUACAUUUUAAGGUUAACUAGGAAAAAUAUUAAUCAUGUAAAAUAUAAUUAACUAGAACUCGGCUAAACGAAUUUUAAUUUUAUUUUAUUAAAUAAAACAAAACAAAACAUCUUUUUAAAUUGAUUUAGUCAUCCACUAGCAUAAUUUUCUUAAGAAAUUCAAUCAUAAGUCAUGUAAAACAAUUUUUUUUUUAUUAAUGUGGAUGUCUAGGUCAGCUUGCGCGUACCUUAACUAAUUCCACGGGCCCUGAAGUUAUCGAUUAUGUAAAUCUCAAGUGACUAUGAGGUUUGUAAGACUUGAACUGGUGAUCUUUAAAAAGCAAAUCUAAAAUCUGACCAGUGAGUUACAUCCCCUCAGAAUUAUAUAAAACAAGUAUUGAUUACUUGGUUACAGCACAAUAACAAAAGCCCCAAUGUAUUGGCACACACAUAAAAAGCUUUUCUUUUGUUUUGUCUAAAGACUUUUUAAUUUUUUUAUCCAAUAAUGUUUUUUGAUAUUCGGUAGCUUAAUAUUGAAAGUUACUCCCCUUCUUAUUUAAUUGCUUCCUUUGAAGCUUCUGAUAGAUUCUUUUGUUUCGAGAUAUGUUAUAAUUACCCUCUCUUUUUUUAAGAAAAAAACUUUUUUUUUCCUUCUAAAACACACGACAUAGUGAGAUUCAUUUGCUAGAUAAUAAUAUAAAAUAAAUUUUGACUUUAUUUUAAAUUGAGAUAAUAUUUAAAUUUAAACAUGUUUUAAAUUUAGAAAGCUUUUUGCCUUGAAAAUCAUUAUUCAUACAAUUCUGUCACAUCACUCUCAUCGAUUCUUAUCCAAUCAGGCCAUAAUGUAAAUGGAUCAUGCGAGCUACCACGACAGCGUUUUGUAUCCUCCCUAACUCCAAGAAAUUGCCCAGCAUUCUUGGGUUUACAAAUCCCUUGUCAUCAGCCUUAUCUGUACAAAUAUUAUUUGCUCAUGCAUGACUUCAUCGUCUAAGAAACAAGAGCAUGUUACCACCGGAAACAUAACUCGUGCCGUAGAGAUCAAAACAAGGACAGGAGUCGAUGAUCGUUCCCCACAAACUCAAAACAUCUCUUUCAACAACGGUGAGAAGACAGUCCGGCUAAUUAUGAACGGUCCACAACUCUGAUAACUUUAAUUGGGCUCCCACGUCCGUCCAUCACUAGUCUACUUCUACACCAUAGAUUAGCUAGCUAGUACAUGCACCUGCUAAGGACGCCAGCUAGAAGUAGGUGUCUAAGCUACUUCAAGAAUACAAGUCACCCAUUGGAUCCCUGGAACGUGGACUGCCAAGCGAUAUUGUUUGUUUUCCUUCUUUAAAACACGCUUUUAUCAAUUGAGCAUCAUCUUCAAUUGAGCAUAAUCUUUUUCUUUAAAAAAUGUAUUAAAACCAAGUUCACAACAGUUAGGGAACGUAUGGGAACGCGGCUGCGUUUCCAAAAAAUUUAAUUUUUUUUAUUAAAAUUUAAUAUGGUUUAUAUUGAAUUAGAAAAAGGGUUUGGAUGACAUUAUAGUUGAAUCAAUAUUUUUAUUAAAACAAUAUUGUCUUUUAUUUUCUAAAAAUUCUUUGGUAUUCACUUAAUUAAGUUUGAUGAAGUCAAAUGAAUUACUAAAACACUCGUUAGGUCAACCAUAUUUUAUUGAAUUAAUAUCUUAUUUGAUCUAAUUAUAAAUUUAAUCCAGAUCAAGUUUUGAUUAUCAAACUUCUCAAUUCGAGCUUCCAAACUAAACUUAAUUUAAAAUUAUACUCACAACUUCUUAAUUUGAGAAGUCUAUCCUUGAAAUUAGGGUAACCUGCAAACAGUCUUGCAGGCUAGCUCACAUACGAGAGACCUAAUUGAUACAUGUUAUAUCAUAAAACUACCAUAAUUUUAAGAUAUGUAUAGUCUCAUGCGCACACACACUCAUAACUUCCCUGACUUUGAAAGCCACUUAAAAUGUGAACCCUUUAAUAAAAAGAGAGUACCUUUAUUGACUAAUAAGCAUGAAGAAAUAUUAAUUCAUUAAAUGGUUCAACACAGUUUCUAUAAUGGUCCCUCUUUAUCAUUGUCACAACCCAAACUUCGGGUCCAUAAUUGGCAACAUAGGAGUGGUUCUCUAAGGACACCUAACCUACGCUAAGCCUCAUAACAUACAUAUCAUAAAUCAGAUUAUAUAGAAUCACACAACAUUUCAUAAACUUUCAAAUAAUUCUCAAAACCAGUAAAAAUAAUUAAUAAUUUAAAACACUUAUUACGUUAAAUAAAAUCCAACCUUUUAAAAUAAAUCUAAACUUGAAUAAAAACAGUAUAAUAGUGGAGCAUCUAAAACAUUAAAUAAAAAUAAAUAAGAUGGAAAGUCUCGCGGAAACAAGCAAGUCAUACCAAUCAAAAGCAAGAACUCUCAACAAAAUCAACAUACUAAUAGAAGCUAAGGAUUUGUAAAUAAUAAUAAAAAAGGAGGGGUGAGUUCAACUAACUCAGUGAGUGAAUAACAUUUAAUAUACAUCUUAGAUAUUAUAAAUUGUAAGUCGUAUAUAUCUUAUAUAUACAUGCGUACUAAGCAUAUUAGCAUAUGGUAGUAGAAUACAUGUCAGAUAACAUAUGAAACACUAAGGUUACCAGAACAAAACACCAUGGGAUGAUUAGUUACACACAAGUUGGUGCCUCUCUCACCAGCUUGCUAUGCAUAGAUAAUGUGUACAAAGACUAACUACUUUUUAUUAGUAUGAAGUUUUUGACAAGUAAGAUAUUAAGACAUAAUAGAUAUUCAUAUAAUUAUCAAAGCAACUGAAUGUUAUAUUGAAUAUGAUUUAAUUCAACAUAAUACAAAUAUAUAUUCAAGAGACUGAUGAGUACUUGAUAAUAAAUCAACAUAUAUAGAUAUUCAAGAAUAUAUAUAUAUAUAUAUAUAUAUAUAUAUAUAUAUUCAAGAAUGUUAUACGUAUUUAUCAUAUAAUCAACAUAUAUAACUAAAUGAAGGCAAAAGAAAAACAUAUGUAGAACUAGGAAUUACUAAUGAUUGCUAGGAGGAACAUAAGCAAAACCUAUAAUGGAUAUGAAAAAACACUAAAAAAUAACUUGAAACAGUUAACCUAAAAGAUUACAACUAUAAGAUUUGAGACCAAAAUAUAAAUAUAAAUCCAAAAUAGAUCCACCUAAUUGAUUCUAAACAUGUCCCAAUCUAACCGAACUUAAAAGAACCGAUUGAACCCCACUGCUCAGUCAACCAUUCGAUCGAAAAGACCAAUAGGUUGACAACCGCCUCAAGCUAACCGGAUGGCCGGUUCAAACCAUCCGGUCAAUCGACAACAUCAAGCCAAUUAAUCGGUUAGUUUACACCAACCGGUUGAUUUGGAUUCUAAAAUCUCAAUUUGCCAGUUUUAAAAAAAAUUCAAAUCCCUCAAUUAGUUUGUUUUAAGCCAAAAUUAACACCAUAAACAUCAAUUACACCUCCUAAAUCAUCAUAUAUCAAAUCAAUAUACUAAAUAUCAUAUAAAUUCUAAAACAUUUCUUUAAUCCAUCAACUAUCACAUCCCAAAUAGAAAAACAACUAAAAAAGGGAUCAUAAUACUUACCUACUUCUUCAACCCUUCUUAAAACCCAAAAACACAAGUUUAGAUAUAACUAAAUUCCUUAUUAUUUUUGGGAGAAAAGUCACGGUAGGGGAAGGAAAAGAGGAGAAGAGAGAACAAAUUCUCUAGCAAAAAUUCUCUUUAAAUACAUAAAUUAGGUUGUUAUUGGAUUAUCCUUAGCCUGAAUUUGAUUGGCAUAACAUGGUUCUUGCAAUCAUCGUCACCUUCAAAUGGACCUGUUGGGUACAUAAAAGACGUAUACCUAAUCUCUCAACUUUCUUUAAUUUGCCUUGUCAAACUAGAUAUGGUUCUCCACUCCAAGUCAAUUGGUAGUAUAUAUGAAUCAGUCGUUUAUUAGUCCAAGUGCUCAAAUAUUAACGGCACAUGGUUUGACAAGUUGGCCACCCUUCGAUUUUCUUCUGGUUGGUGCUAAGGCCCUUUCAACAUCUUUUUAAAAGGUGUGACAUAGUAAUGGUUCCUAGAAUAGGACCAACUUAAAGGCUAGGAGUACUAGCCAUAGGGUGGACCACGGUCCCCUCGCCCUCUGUUAGUAAUUUUGUACUGUACGAUAUUGUCCCGUAACAUUGGAUUAUGGCCUACAUUGAUCCAUGUAGACUCGAGGUCUAAGACCCAAAUAGUUACACCGACCGUGACUCAUCGAACCUGAAGGCUACAUUUGCUGGGUGCUAAUUCACCAAAAAGGUUCACUGUUUGGCCAAAUAUGGAGUAGUCAAUCAAUUGCCAUGUAUGGACCCAUCUAUGGUUUGUGAUGUCUAGGUGUAAUCGUACGACUCUAAGGCUAAUAAUUCCGACAGGAACAGCCAACAUUUUCUCUCUCCUUAUCUUUAUCAUAACCCUAUAUUUGAAAUCUGAGGUUCUUUGAAUCCGAUGGGAGAGAGGGGUGAAGGGUUUUUUUGGAUAAAGUUCUUAGAAUUCUAUGAUUAUCCCUUCCUUCGUAUAACGAACUGUACCUGGAAAAAGUAGGCGAAUUUUAAGAAUAUUCUUUUCCAAAGUCAAUUCCAAAAAUAUUUCAUGCAUUAAACGAGUAGUUCUCCAUGGCAGAACCGGAUUUUAAGAAAAUGGAGGCGAAUUCUAAGGUAUAUUCUUGAUUAUGAGUUUUAUGCCUAAUCAGAUUUAAUUUUUAAUCAAAACGAUCUGAUUUUGAAAAACAAAGGGUUGUCCGUCAACCCGCAGGUUGAGCCAAGCAACCCGCAACUUAGAUCUGAAUCGUGUCUUAUAACCAUGUCUAUAUGGUAUCUCUUGAUUGAAGCUAAACAAGUCCAGUUUUGUAAUGAACAAGUGCAAGUUCAGGUCAUUAAGCUUGCUCAAUCUGCUUUGAAAACACUUCUCAGGACACGUUCCAGUGGAUGACGGCCAUUUUCUAUGGAAAACUGCAAAGAGCAAAAGCAAUUAUCUAGGCUGUACAAGUUAGCGUCAAUAAGAAAUUAGGACAGGAACCCAGGUUGCAUUAAUUAAUCUAUUCAAUACAACAAGAACUGGCUUCAAUUUUUCCCAUUAACAAUCUGCUACAAAUAAUUAAACAAGUAACAUUUUUUUAUGGAUAAAUAAAUUAACUGUUAAGAUUUUGAAGACAAGACAUGGGAGAAGAGAGAGCCACGAGCAAUUUAGAUCAAAGGUAUGGUAAUUCAUAUUGGUAUUUUUACAGUUGUCUAUUUCUAUAUAUUUACAACUAUGGCAAAAUUGUCUUGCAAAAUUGUAUUGAAGGGCAGUGAAAGCAAAGCUGCUCCAUCUUGAGAAGAGCAUCAACUAGUGGCUGAGAAUGUUGAGAAUGGUAACUCUGGUUUUCAGUAAUCUCCUGUAAACAGCCUCCAACUCCUCCACUGCUUCCUGAAUGUUUGACUCUAAUGCCUCCAGUCCUUUCAAUGCAUUUUGCACUUGUACUGAAUUGAUGUCUUUGCUCGAUUUCAGGACAAGCAAUUCGGCGUCUAUCUUUUUGAAUUCAUUGAGUUCAGCUUCGCAUGAUACACGUUUGGAUGGAAAUAGUUUUGAAACGACAGACCAGCCAUGGGAGCUUGAUCUUGCCUUUGUCUGAGAAACCAUGGACAAGAGAGAUUGGAAAAUCCCGAGGCUGAUUUCUUUUACUUCUGUCAGCAGGCUGACUGCAUCGACUGCUGAAGUGAUGUUCUUCUCCAUGCUCUUCAAAUUUUUGAAGCAUUUGCGGAUUGUUUUAUCUAAUUGUUUCCUGGACAUAAUAUAAGCUUCAACUUCACUUGCGAAUCCAGAUUCUCCACCUUUUCUCCUCCUGAGAGAUGAUUCAAGUUCCUGCAAGCACUCCUUAAUUGAUGAAAAAACAUCUCUAGUUGUGCUGCACAUGUCCAACAAGAGCAGAGAUCCACUCAACACCUCUUCUCCCCUUUCUUUUUGUUGUUCAUUGGAGAGGGUUUGUUGUGUUAAUGGCAACUGAAGAAAAUCCUCAACACACUCAUACAAGACUUUGAGGCCACUCAAUUUGUGGUAAACUGAAGUAGAAGUUGUUUCUGAUGAUCUCAACCUGUCCAAUUGAUCUUCUACGCUGACAUUUAGAGGGUGAGAUCUUGAGGGCAAGCUGAUAGAGCGAAUGUGGCAAGCAGCCAUCUUAUCCUUUAGCAGAAGAACGCUGGUUAUUGAUGUUGAUACAAUUGAGCUUGGGAGAUGUUGUUCAAGGCAUCUCUCAUGGGUCUAUUAUAUAGACAAUAGGAAAUAACAUUAAGAAAUGCAUGCAUCCAUACUUGCAUUUGCUGUCAUGUGGCCUUUUUCUAACAAUGCGGCUCUCUCUCAUCAUUGUUGUAGUUCAGGAAGCAUAAUGCUAAUAAAAUAAUCUCAACUGUUAAUAUUUUUAAAAUAAUAGUAGCAUGCCUCCUUGCAACCCAGACAGGAAUACGAUCAUCACACCGUAUGAAUAAUUUAUCAGGAAUCUCAUCAUGUGAAAUGUACAGAUCUAAUCUCGCAAUAAAGAUUUUGGAGCUCUUCAUGAUAUUAAAAUGUUAUGGUAAUCAAAAUACUGUUAACAUGAUACAAGUCUGACAUAAUUGUUUCCUGCUUCUUGGACAUGCUGCUCUACAGUAGGGUAUCGACUAACCUGUACAGACUAGAUUAAAGAUGAAACACGUAUAGCGAAAUAGGUGGAUCUUGCUCGAUCACAUGCCAACCAGCUUGUAAUUAUCACAUAUGUGCAUCAUUAACAAAUACAUUUCAUGUUUUGUUGAGCUAUAUCACACGUGCACCUCUGUGCCAAAUUCACAUGCAAAUAAUGGCCUGUCAAGAUUCCAGAUGCUCCCCACCAGGUCUAUCAAUUGGAGCUAUUUCCGAGCCUCACGAUCCUUUUUGUUCUGUACAGAAGCUCGAGCAAGAUAAUUAUGUGUGUUGAAGAUAUGGGUGCCAUCCACUUGUGCGCAUAUAUAUUUUAUUUGAUUCAUAUCCUUACGCAGGGUGUCAUGGCAAUGAAGCAUGAAACAAUUUUGUCAGGGAUCUGAAUAGCUGAUUUUUAUUCAUUUCAUUAACAUUAGAAAAUAGUGUUCGUAGCAAUGGCUUGUCAAGUUUGCCUCAGGAACAGCAAUGUAUUAUGAGAUGGUCUGUGAAUUUCACAGCAUUCUAGCUCAAAGUCAAAUGGAUUCUGAUGUAAUGAAAAUUUUUCUGUCGAGGAUUCAUUGGCACAUAUGUUAAUAUUAGGAUUAUCUUAUAGGAAGCACUCAUCUUGAAUCAUAGCAAUGAUGAGAGAAAGCCGGCCGCUGUCGGAAAAUGCAACGCAUGACAGUGAUGCAAGCCUGGAAUGAUGGAAUCUGAAUUGCGACUCUGUUCGGUAUAUAAUAGGUGCAAGAGGAGUUGGCUUGAACGACUUUGAAGUUGGACCUACAUUACAUAUCCCACUGAUGGAGGCUUUCUUCUUCUUAAGGGAAGAUGGAUGCCUUUGUUGGAGCUCUAUAGCUGCUUGCCAUUUUCGCUCCAUCAGCUUGGCUUCAGAAUCCCAUCCCCUGGCUCAGAGUAUCAAGUUGCAGUUGGAAAUGUUGAGAUCAUCACAAGAAACAUCCUCAUCAACCUGCCAAAGAUCGAGUGGCCUCAAGACUUUAUACUAGUGCGUGGACGAUUUUCUUCAAUCGUCACUCUCCUACCAAGCCCUCUCCAAUGAACAUUGAAGCAUAUAUGGUUAGUUAAAAACUGAAGCAAGUGAUCUUCAAGUCCUUCAGAUACUCGAUGACAAUGGAGAAAAGUGCACAUAGCCAACCUUGGACAAAGAAACCAUCUUGGCGUGUCUGACAAGAGAAUCUGAAGAAAUCAGUGUUGCUGUGUUCGCAUCCCUCUUAACUUCCGUUUCUCUGUCAACAAAAUUAAAGGGAAGUGGCAGCUGGUCUGUUGAAGUCCAAACGUGUAGUUGAUGCCAAUUAAGCAGAGAUGAUCGAUGCUGAAUUGCUUGCUUUGAAAUCAAGCAAAGACAUUAGUUUUCUACAAGUCCAAAAUGCAUUGAAAAUUUUGGGGGCAUUUCAUUGGAGCAUUCAGGAAGUAGAAGAGGAGUUGGAAUCUGUCUACAGACUACUAGUUAAUACAAGAGUCUCUCUUCUGAACAUUCUCAAUCACUAGAUCAUUAACUUCCUCUUGGGGACAGUUUUUUUCUUUCCUGUCAGCUAAUCAUCUGUACAUUGUUAUCAUCUGACAGUAUAUAUAACAAAUACAAAGAAAAACACGCAAUAUACUUGGAUUGUUUAAUCUCAAAUGUUGCCUUCCCUCUCUUUCGUUCUCUCUCUGUCUCCAUAUGAACACUGCUAUUCUUUUUUGGAUAAAUGAAUUCUUCAUUACUAUUAUCUUGAAACAGUAUGAAGGAAUGUAAGCUUAGUGUUUUUUUUGCUAAUAUUUAGUCCUGAAAUAAAUUCACCCAAUCUGAUGAACACACUGAUAAAAAGAUUCUAAACUGUCUUUGCGUAACUGGGAUAUGCAACUGCUGCUUCUGUCCCAGUCUCAGUUUUAUGACUUUUCAGGACUGGCAUGUCUUUCUAAAGUUGUUGGGAAUCCUGUUGGUUCUUCCCCUGUCAAAAUAAAAGCAUAGUUGGCAUACCCAACUCAGGUUUAAUUGGGCUAAGGGCUUCGUAGUGACCGAUUGAUUCAAAACGAUGUUGUUUUAACAAAAAAACUAUAAAAUUAAUAAAAUUCCUUAAAAUUAACCUGGCCUAUUCUAAUUAAUCGGACUAUGAAUUAAUAUCUCAACAUAGCUAAUAUUUAAAGUAAUUUAAUAAAAAAAAUCAGUAUCAAUGAGAUUUAUACUGAUUUAAUCUCCUCAACUUCUUGAAUGCUACACUGCAAAACCUUCAGUCCCUUCAAUACAUUUUGCACCUGUACACGGCUGAAUUUCUUGCCAAUGAGACUGGAGUUGGAAAGGAAUAGAUGAGAUUUACUCUGAAAAGACUAUCCCUUCUUUUUUUCCUUUUCUAGCCAACAUAAAUAUUCAUAUGACUGAUAAAAAAUGAGAUGUAUUUUUCAAUAAAGGACAGUAAUGAUCACUGAGAGACGAGAUAAGAAUUGGAUCCAGGUUCUGAUGAUUUCUCAAGGAAGUGUAAAUUUUCAUGACAAUAUAUUCAAGGAGAGAGAUGGAUGGAACAUGUUUUAAGAUAAUUGUUAUUGCAUUGUAUUAUGUUCAUAGUGAUCUUCGUACACUUGAAUAUUUCUAUAUAUUUACAACUAUAGCAAAAUUGUCUUGCAAAAUUGUAUUGAAGGGCAGUGAAAGCAAAGCUGCUCCAUCUUGAGAAGAGUAUCAACUAGUGGCUGAGAAUGUUGAGAAUGGUAACUCUGGUUUUCAGUAAUGUCCUGUAAACAGCCUCCAACUCCUCCUCUGCUUCCUGAAUGGUUGACUCUAAUGCCUCCAGUCCUUUCAAUGUAUUUUGCACUUGUACUGAAUUGAUGUCUUUGCUCGACUUCAGGACAAGCAAUUCGGCGUCUAUCUUUUCGAAUUCAUUGAGUUCAGCUUCGCAUGAUACACGUUUGGAUUGAAAAAGUUUUGAAACGACAGACCAGCCAUGGGAGCUUGAUCUUGCCUUUGUCUGAGAAACCAUGGACAAGAGAGAUUGGAAAAUCUCAAGGCUGAUUUCUUUUACUUCUCUUAGCAUGCUGACUGCAUCGACUGCUGAAGUGAUGUUCUUCUCCAUGCUCUUCAAAUUUUUGAAGCAUUUGCGGAUUGUUUUAUCUAAUCGUUUCCUGCACAUCAUGUAAGCUUCAACCUCACUUGCGAAUCCAGAUUCUCCACUUUUUCUCCUCCUGAGAGAUGAUUCAAGUUCCUGCAAGCACUCCUUCGUUGAUGAAAAAACAUCUCUAGUUGUGCUGCACAUGUCCAACAAGAGCAGAGAUCCACUCAACACCUCUUCUCCCCUUUCUUUUUGUUGUUCAUUGGAGAGGGUUUGUUGUGUUAAUGGCAACUGAAGAAAAUCCUCAACACAGUCAUACAAGACUUUGAGGCCACUCAAUUUGUGGUAAACUGACGUAGAAGUUGUUUGUGAUGAUCUCAACCUGUCCAAUUGAUCUUCAACACUGACAUUUAGAGGGUGAGAUCUUGAGGGCAAGCUGGUAGAGCGAAUGUGGCAAGCAGCCAUCUUAUCCUUUAGCAGAAGAACGCUGGUUAUUGAUGUUGAUACAAUUGAGCUUGGGAGACGUUGUUCAAGAAACCUCCUCUGGGCCUCUUAUAUAGAGGCUAGGAAAUAACAACUGGGAUGCAUAUGCAUCCAGACUUGCAUUUGCUGUCAUGUGGCAAGGUUUCUGACAAUGCCGACUUUCUCUCAUCAUCAUUGUAGUUCGGGAAACAUAAUGCUAAUAAUAUAGUCUCAACUGAUUGUUAUUAUUCAAAUAAUAGCAGCAUGCCUCCUGAUAACCCAGACAGAAAUAUGAUCAUCACACCGUAAGCAUAAUUUAGCUGGAAUCUCAUCACGUGAAAUGUACUGAUCUUAAUCUCAUAAAUAAGUUUUUGGAGCUAUUCAUAAUGAAAAUUUAAAAAUCCCAUGGUAUUGUUGAAUGAUUGGUUACAAAAUACAAGUCUCUGACAAAGUUGUUUCCUGCUUCCUUGACAUGCUGCUCCACAAUAUGGUAUCAACUUGAAUAAUUAACCACUACGAACACUAUAUUAAAGAUGAACACAUAUGGAAAACAGGUGGAUCUUGCUUCAUCACACAACAACCAGCUUGAAUUAUCACUCAUGUGCAUUCAUUAAGAAAUACAUUCAAUGUUUGAUUGACCUAUAUCAUCAGUGCACCACCGUGUCAAAUUUAGAUGCAAACAAUAGGCUGUCAAGAUUUCAGUUGCUCCUCACCAAGUAUAUUAUAUCAGUGAGAGCUAUAUCCGAGCCUCAUGAUUCAUUUUUGUAUUGAAGCUCGGGAAAAAUAAAUAUAUUUGUAUGGAAGAUAUGGGUACAAUCCACUUGUGUGCACAUAUAUUUUAUUUGAUUGAUAUCCUUGUGCAGGGUGUCAUGGCAAUGAAGCAGGAAACAAUGUUGUCAGAGGCCUGAAUAAGUGAUCUAUAUUCAUUUCAUUAUCAUUACAAAAUAGCGAGUCAAGGCAACGGCUUUUCAACUUUGCCGCUUGAAUAGCAUUGCACCACGAGAUGGUCUUUGAAUUUUAAAAUGUUCAAAAUCAUUUGGUGUAAUGAUGAUAUUUCUGUCUGCAACACAUGGGUUCUUGCUAUUAUGUCAUGAGUAUUUUAUAGGCAGUACUCCUGAACUGUUAUAACUUAUGAUGACAGAAAGCCGGGCCUGUUGAAAAAUGCAACACAUGACUGCAUUUGCAAGCCUGGAGCGAUGGAAUUUGAAUUGAUACUUCUUGUUGUGUAUAUAAUGGAUGCUAGAGGUGUUGUUGGGAAGAUGGUUGCUUUUUUUCUCGCUAAGCCCAGUUUUUUAGUGACAACACCAGAGUCGUUAUGAAAAACCAGAUGGAGUUAUGAGAGGCGUUGCAACAAGGGACAUCUUACAAAGUGUAGUACGCAUCCCUGGAAUGGAGCAAAGAUCAAGAACCGAAACAGCCCGCAAACGAAACUCCUAUCAGAAUCUCAGAGAAUAAACCCCAUUAAAGAUUAGGAAAAGAAGCUAAAACCAAUGAAGCUGGAAGCAGGAAACAUCCAAAAGGAAACAACUGAAAAGGAGUGGUACGCAAUGUUGGGGAUUCCGGCACCCCCAUGCGCGGACCGGGGGUGUACUGAUAGUUGCUCUUCGGAGGGUAAAGCACACUGACACAAUAUUUUACGUGGUUCGGCAAAACCGCCUACAUCCACGGGAGAGAGUCCAUAUUAUUUAGAGAUAGAGAAAGGAUACAAUAAAUACAUGGAGGAGGAUCACUCAACUCCCAGCUCACACACCCUGCUACAUAUGGCAGCAGGGCUGCUGCCCAUGGCAGCAGCUCCUCUUUCUCUUCUUCUCUUCACGUUCUCACACACUCUCACUUCUCUCACAUUUGCUCUCCACAAGACAUGCCUCUUUAUAGGCAUUUCUUAGCACCCUUCUCCAGCACAUGAAGGGGACAAUGGUCCUGAAAUCAUGCCACUAAUUAUGCUCCACUAUCUACCAAGUGGGAGUGGGGUAUUUGCCACAAUAAUGGCAAUUUCCUAACACGCAAUGGAAGACAAUUCAAUUGGAAAGAAAUUAAAGCUUCAUAUCAAAAACUAUUGAACACGCUUUGCAAGAGCAAGCAGAUUCUGCAGAACUUUGAAUAUCAGCUUGACCUGCAAAGAGGAAUGGAACAGCUUGUCAACCAGAUGCAAAAAGAAUUCGGAAAAAACACCUAGAGCUUUGAGUAGAAACCAAAAUUUCUGAUUUUAUUGUUGCGGCAGACAGAAUAACCUGCAGGUGCAAUCACCGAAGGGACCAAUCAUGCUUUGAAAUACCAUGAGUUUCGAGGAACCUUGUCUAUGCAUUCUGAUCCAUCAAAAUCCAGUAAUUGUGACACAGCCAUUCCAUGGCCUAGGCCAUAAUUUAGGAUUGGUGCUGGUUUAAGGUCUCCCAAGAGGGGGCUGCGCAAGUCGCGGCCCUGCCAAGUUCUAGUCUCAAAACUCGCACUAAUUAAGAUGGUUCAGAGAAAUUAAUUAUUCAGUGGCAGAUGGUAAUAAUCAUCAAGAACACGAACAAUUAGCAUGGCUUAGAGUUUGAAGUGCACAUUCAUUUACCAGUCUUGUUGUCUAUAAUUAAAUGAGUGAAGCUAUUCGACGAGCAGUAGAGUUGGGCAUGUUUCAACAUUAAGAAGGCAAUAAGGCUUGCAACAAUAAGUUUUCUAGCAUUUUUCGGCCUCUUUGCUAUCCUUGUCUCAUCAGUUGCUGGAUCACCAGAUGGUAUCCCUGCCCGUGAAGAACACUACUCAAGGCAAUAUGAAAACACUCUAGGAUUGUGGGGACAACAGAGAUCUUGAGCUAGUGAAUCAUUUUGACUUUCAGUACAGGGAAAGAAAUCUUAAAACGGGAAUUGGCAGUACCAGUUAGCAGCUUCUUUCUCACUUGUAUCUAAAAGGUAACAGCAGCAAGAAUUUUAUAAAGGAUCCGCGGUGUUGCCUUUGGAAACUCGAGGACCAGAAGUUGCAUUCAUGUUACUAGAUUGAUUUUCAUGAAAAGAUUGUCACGAGUCUUCCAUUUCUUACUCAUUAGUUCUUCUCCU
RNAcentral lists this long non-coding RNA (56199 nucleotides) under Populus trichocarpa (black cottonwood). RNAcentral describes it as "long non-coding RNA (PTRI_LNC001618)". Lineage: Eukaryota; Viridiplantae; Streptophyta; Magnoliopsida; Malpighiales; Salicaceae. The record is from RNAcentral.